ACAAAGAACCUUUCUUCAAGAAGCAAUGUAUACAUUUAUUUUUUAAAAAAAAACCUAAACAUAGCAAAGAAUGAUAGAUGGUUGAAAUAGGCAAAGUAGAUUAUGUACCUUUCACUUGUUACUUUGGCUAUUAUCUAUGAGGAGAGAGAAGGGGAGAAGAGAGAGGGAUCUUACAAAUAUUUGACAAUAUCUUUCUAUACUAAAAAAAUAUUAUAUAUAUAUAAAUAUAUAUAUAUAUAUAUAUAUAUAUAUAUAUAUAUAAUACUUAUUUACCACUUAAAAAAUUUGAAAAACAUUCUAAUACAUGCAAAAUAUUUUAAUACAAAGUGUAAAAUAAAAAUAAAAUGAGUAAACCUCAUUCAAUACAUUUUAAUAUUUCUAAUUUAUUUUUAAAAAUUAUUCUUCUUUAUGAUUGUAAAAAAAUGACAUGAAUAAUAAAAAAUAAAAAAAUAAAAAAAUAAAAUUGAUAUAAAUUUAAGUUUAAAAAAUGAUUGUUAUAUAAAUAUUUAUAAUAUAAAAUCAUGAUAUGCUCUAAAAAUUAUGCUAAUUAAUGCUUAUAAGAAGGCAAGACAAGUAGCACCUUAAUCUUGUUAAUACAAGUUUUGGAAUAAUUAUAGUAUUUUCUUGUUUCUAAUUUUACAUCUAGUUUUUUUUCUAAUGUAACCUAACAUCUUGUUCUUUAUGUAUUUUCUUUGCAUAAUAAUUCCUUUUGGUAUCCUUAACAUACAUAUUAAAAUAUUAAUUUUGUAUUAAGACAUAUAAAAAUAAAACAACAUAAUUUAAAAUAAUCACUAAACUAUGAAAUUAUUUUAUGAAGUCAUAUACUUUUUUUGAUAUACUAAAUAUAAUGGCUAUAAUUUUUUAAUAUUUACUUGCUUUAAAUGAAAGUAAAUCACAAAGUUUUUAAUUGAUAUAAUUAUUUAUUUUAAAUAAUUGAAUUUAAAAUAAAACAUAUCACUUAUUAAAAUUUGAUCAAUUAUUACUAUGAUAAUUGAAUAUUUAAAGUUCCUUUAAGUUUUAAAUAUCAGAUUUAUCUGAAACGUGAUAUUUUGAUUUAAAUAUUCUUGUCUUUUGAACUCUGGCAACUGACCGGGUAAAAAUCGCUCCGUGGUCGGUGUAUUUAGGCCGAUAUGGCAGGGUAUGUUGACCUAUGUAUCAAAUGCCGCCAGUUGUACCAUGACUGCCGCAAGGUGACGCCCAGAGACGCUGGCGCUAGUCAAUUGGACUCACCGCAACGGGGUUGCUAGCAGCUUUGUACCAAGACAAGCAUCAAAGCGAAGAAGGGUUUUAGGGGGUGAAAUUUUACCAAAAUUUUGUAUCUUAGAUCCACUUCUACCUGCGUGCUGCACGAAUCAAUCGCAAGGUUGCACAGCUUGUGCAAUAUCGGAGAGGAGCGUGUGCCUUGGGGUUGAGGAAUAGAAUUUUGUGAGGUGAUUGAGAAGAGUGAGAGAUAUGGCGCCGGCGUUGAUCAACGCUAACCCGAUUGUCCAUGAGAAGAAGAAGAGGACGUCUAAGCCACAGGCGAAUUAUAACGACGCUAUACCUGACGUGAUCGACGAGUUAGAAAUUUUUGAUAUCCUUUUUCAUUUGCUUUCAUCAGUGUUAAUUGAUGGGAUUUGUAUCAUUUGUGGUUUUAGGUCUCUGAAGGCAGCCAUCAUUGUUGUGGGUUUGUUCAGAAGUUUUGUGUAGAGUGCUAGGCAGAGGAAUGGAGAGUGGUUGGGAAAAAAAACAGUGUGUCUUGUAAUUUAGUCGAGCGUUGGACGUGCUUGUUUUCGGGGAAUUUGAACCGCAUAAAAUUGCCAUAUCUUGGGUCUCAGGUGUACAGUUGGGCAGGAUCAAUUAUGCAGUGGUUUGUUUGGAAAAGGCGACGAAUUGAAUUAUUCUCAACAAUUGCCGUGUCUGAUAUUUUAUUGAUACAUCUAAUUUUUUGUAGUUUAUGAUCAAGCAGACGUCUUUUAACUCUCUGCCUUGCUUAACCAGUAGCAAAAUUGAAUCAGCUUCCAUAAUGAUAAAAUUCUUUCAUAUAGCCAGUAUGCCUUAAAAUGUGGUGGUUCUGUUAACCUUGACUCCUAUCUGCACAUCAUGUGAGAGACAUAACGGAUCCUGAGCAUCCCUACUCCCUCGAGCAGCUAAACGUGGUGACAGAGGAUUCUAUUUUUGUGGAUGAUGCGAAAAAUUAUGUCAAGUAAAUGGCCUCAUGCAUUUUUUUGAAGUUUGAUUGGUUUUCAAAGCAAUUAUAUCUGGUGUUUCAUUUUUCAACCUUGUACAAAUGAUCAUAUUUAUGCAUAAAGCUGAUUUCUCCUUCUGUAAUUCUGUAGUUCUGGUUUGUUGGUGCCUUUGUUGCGCUUGUGAAGUGAAAUGGCUUCGUAAAGUUAAGUGGCUUUAUUUGGCGUCAAAUUUUUGGUGGUUGAGCAGGAUUACUUUCACGCCCACGGUGCAACACUGCAGCAUGGCUACUAUUAUUGGUCUCUCCUUGCGGUUGAAGCUUUUGCGUUGCCUUCCGCCACGCUUCAAGGUUUUUGUUCACACCCGAACUCAAUUGUACAACUAUUGUGUUGCAAAUCUCGUGUUGCAUAAGUCCUGCACGUUUUAUUAGUAAUUUUCACUGCUCAUUCUUGAUGUACCAAGUGUUGAUUUCCUUUCAUCUAUCAGCUGUUGCAGCUGUAAGACUGAUCACGUGUCAUUUAAUAUUCCGCAUUGAGUCUUAUUCUAUGCAAGUUUACUUAUUCGACGGUUUGGUAAAAUAGGUGGAUAUUUUUCUCGCUCCGGGCUCUCAUUCUACUGAAGCCGCAAGUAAGUUCCAUCUGGCUUUACACGGGACGUUGUUGGAAAAGCUAUUUAUGUUUCGAAUCAUAGGGUUUUGUCUUUUAUUAAAUUUAUUUUUUCAUUCUGAUUCAAAAUUUUGAUUUGGACGCUGCAGUUAACAAGCAGCUAAAUGACAAGGAGAGGGUGGCAGCUGCUUUUGAAAACCCAAAUCUCGUUGAUCUCGUGGAAAAAUGCUUGGUCUCAACCGAAGAGUAGUUCUGGACCAUCCCCGGCAAUUAAUGUCUUGAGAUGCAAAGUAGCAUUAGCGUUUUAUUCUGCUUUUAGUAAUCGUUUUCAGUGUGCAUCUGGGCUCGUGGUAUUCGGAUGCUCUAGAUUUUGCAUGUCAUUUGCACAUCAUGUAAAAUACUUGAUAGUGAUCUCGCCUUUCAGAGGUUGCUUGUGGAUAGUGUUAACUUCCCCCGGGGCAUUUUUGAUAGUGCAAGGAAAGACUUAAAGCGAUUGAUGGUUUCCGAAAGCCAGCAUGGUUGAGGGGACGGAGUAGCUUGCUAUCAGUUGUUCUCGACAGGAGCCUUUCCUUGUUUUGGGGAAUGUUUACAAUGUUCUAGAAAUUGAGGUAUCGCUCCAUUGGCAUGAAAAGGCCAUUGUUUUGUUCUUUAUAUCCUCGACACUCUUUGUGACAGAUAACUUGUAAAUUCCCUUUCGAGACGAAGUGUAUUCCUUGUAAUGCGUGCUUCAACGUAUCUGUUUUUGGUUCAACGUAGCAUGUCGUUCUUUUAUUUUGGAGAAGCAACAUUUAUGUGGAAGUUUUUAGUUGGAGAAUGGGGGAAAAUCGCCUUCUGUUAUCGGUACUCUUCCAGUAUGGACCUUCACCACAUGGGCAGUGAUUCCCAACUGCUGGUGAUGUAAAAAAUGAGUGGACAUGUAACUAUCUGGACUUGAGCGUGAUGGCAUCAGCCGAAGUCCCGGGUGUCUUGAGAGCUCGUGGGGGUCUCAUGAGCGGUCCAAAUCAGAUGAAAACCCGGGCAUCGCUCCCCAAACCUUGUGUGGCCAUCGCUCUUCUAGUAGGUCAUGCAAGAGUUCAUGACCACAGGACCUUUGGGUGUGAAAGGGAGCAGGGAUUCUUGAUUUAUGUUCACGGGUAUCAAGGUCAUGUGUUCUCCAAGGAUGUAAAUGCGAACAGGUGCAUCUGAUGAUCGUUGUCCAACCUCUGUAGGGAGCGUCACUGCUCAACGUUCGCCUUUGGGAUUGUGGUUCCGGAUUUCAGAUGGUUACACUUCUAUGUUUGUAGAGAGGAUUUAACAUCAUGUUUCAAACUUCUCAGCAAAUCCAUGCACUUUCGUCAUCGAAGUUAUCCAUUAUACGAACCGUUUCAUCAACCAAUCGUUAGUCUGUUCUCUUAAACCGUUCCAACAAGCAUGGACAUUUGCCAGGAAGGUAGACGACCGCACACAACCUCCAGCCUCGGUUGAGAUCUUGUAAUACAGUUGAGUUUACAAGGUCCGUUGAAGUGGGUGAAUGCGCAGCUGGCUUUGGGUUAGUUAUUAUCCGCGUUGUGCUUCCCCUCUUCAUCAUCCUGUUCUUCACAUCUUUACCUGGAACCCACAGUUGCGAUUUUUCGCCAUCGGGGAUAUGAUGCCCUGAAAUAUUAUUUUAGUCUGUUUUUGGCAAUCUUUCGGUCUUCGAAACUAUACACGAUCCAACCACUUUGGCGAAUCUUUUGUUGUUAAGCCUGCUUCUUCAAAGCCCUUUGAGGCAACAUAUCUGAAAAGGAGAGAGAAAGUGGGUAGAAAGGUAGCUGUGUUAGCAUUUCCGGUGAUACAUUUCGAGGUGAUGGGUAUCUUCAGGUUAGCCACCCCGUUUUAAUGCAUCGUAACAGCGUUGGAAGGAUGUCAUAAACCGGGCAUUUGAGCAAAGCAUAUGUUUCACAAAUCUAUCAGUAGGCCAGCUGCAGCCGUUAUUAUGCUGAUAUUCGGUUUCGAGUUUGACAGACGUGUCGAGAGAGAUAUUAUCUCAGUCGUUCGGUUGCCUUUGGAUAUAGUUUAGCUCUGCAUCCAUCAGCACAUUUUCUUAAGGCAUUGCACUGGCUGCAGACAGAAGCAGGCCUUGCCAAGGUCGGAGACAGCCAUGCUGGCUGCCGCAGAUCUAGGUCCAAUUCACCUUAACCUGGAUAAUUACCGGCUCACUUUUGAAGAUUGUUCGUGGACUCCAGGUGCACGCCAGUUAAUCCUCGUGAGACUAACUUUGCUUUAACACGUUCUGGUUCUUUUGAAGCCUGCGUGCUUUUAUUCUGUAUACAAAAAUAUUCAUUCUGCUUCUUAAACCUCGUAAAUCUGGAGAGUGAGUGCACCGACUCACAUACAGCACAAAAAUUGUUAAAAUCGGUCCCUCAAGUUUUGGUUUGUAAUGCCCAUCACCUAUUUGGAGCAUACACCAUCUUUCCCCAAUUAUUUGUGUUUGCAAUGUGUCAGAGUACGAUGCCCCAGAAAUGCCAGAGGGCGUUGGUUCCGUAGAAGAAGAGAUUUGCAAGCUUCGAAGAGAGAAGCGAAGGAUGGUACACAAUCAACCAACCAAUCAAUCAAUCACAAAGCUCCAGUGGCGAUCCUACACUGGUAUGGAAGUUACUUAAGCAACUGUAAAUGCAUAACACAAUCCAUCUGUUGUGGUGAACCUGCGUAAACAGAAGAAGGAUCUCGACAAAUUCAUGGCGCAAGCGAAGGAGAUGAAGGAUUUGAAGGAGAAGUGGAACUUGCUAGAUUUCAAAUACCAACUUCUGCUCGACAUGGUACAGAUUACUUCAAGAACAAACCUACCCAUCCAACAUAUAAACCCUGUUCGCAACAUUGGGGGAUAAUUUUGGAAAAAUACGUUGAAAUCCUACCGAAUGUUGUCUUGUGAACGCAGUGGACCAUGAGGGCAUUGGAUGAGAAGGAGGAGUGUGAAGGAAGCUAUAGAAGAAGACCCCACUCCACAGGCGGCAUGUCACUCAGCCGAGAAGGCUCCCCGAAACGAUGUUCCCCAAAACGGAGCUCCCCGAAACGCAGCGGGCGGUAUGAGAUCACUCCUCCUUCGAGGAGGAACCGCCAUCCCUGUUGCAACGACGAUCCCUCGCCUUCCAAACGAAGCGAGCGAUGCCAUUAAGCAAAGCAAGUUUUGCCGCGGGAAUGCAGCCAGUCUUGUGGCUGCUAGAGAGUCGGUUCUGUAUGUGUGUCGGUGCCGGCGUCUCGUCUGCCUCCAGACAUGAUCAUCUGGUAACAAACAGGAGAGUGUCGCGUUGACACUAACCAUCAACUCUGUUUUUAUUUUUUGUAAUUUUAAUGUUUGGGAGUCUUUGUAUGAUCGAGAUGACAGAUUAGAAUGAAAUCUCUAAAACAUAUAUUUGGAUCUGUGAUGUCCAUUGAUUGAUUGAUUGAUAUAUAUAUAUAUAUAUGUAUAUGUAUAUAUAUAUAUACACACAUAUGUACAUGAAAGGAUAUAGCCAAGUAUAUUAGUUGAAGGCAAAAUAAUAAUAAUGAUUGGAACACAGGUAUGCAGAUAUAUGUAUUUUUCUAAAAUUAAGGUUUUGGACUUUUCUUUUUAUAUCAUUCACUUUGAAUUUCAUUGCAACAUCUUAGAAUGGUUUUAUUAUUUUUAUGAUAAAAACUAUCUUAUUAACAUUGUUUAGACUUUACAUGCAAGAUUUUAUGAUCUUAGUAAUAACAUAUGUAUCUAUAGAUAUAUAGAUUAUAGACAUUCAUAUAUAUUUGCAUAUGUUAUUGUUGGAAUGGAUUACAAAUGAGCAUAUAUAGAAUACAUGCAAUCUAACAAAAAAGAUACAUAAUGUAAGUGGUUCACCUUAGAGUUGAAACUAUGACCAGUAGAGAAUACAUGAAUGAAUUUGAUUUCACUAAAGAAUAUGCUCAUUGUGCAGCAAAGUGAUGUUUGUAUGAGGUUUGAAUGAAAUCUUUAAAAAACCAUCACUAACUUUAGUGCCUUUACUAAGCUAGUUCUAAAUUAGACUUAGAUCAAUGCACAAAGGUGAUGCCCUUGCAUCCUUGCCAAGUACUAUUAUUGUUUUUUUUUCAAUCCAAGCUCUUGACUGAAAUUUAGAAUCUAAUACUUCAAGGUGAGCACCUCUUCUUGUCAACCUUCACCAAUGGAGACCGCUCACUUCUCCUUAUCUUUGCAUUUUCAAAAAACCAUUAACACCACCAUCUUUAUGCACUUCAACAUAACAUUCUUCAAAAACUUGUCCAACCUCAUUGAGAAGCUCUUUAUCAUAGCUCAACCUCUAUUAUUCUUCACUAUCACCCAUUGUUGCUUCUGCAUAGGCACCACCAAAACAUAUCACCUCAUCUUCACAUGCCCAAUGGUGGCCCAUUGUCCAACCAUUGUUGCCAUACUCUUUGUCGCAUCUUUGCUCCAAAUGACAAACUUCAAUGCUACAUAGUAAAUAUGCUUUGGUACUAAUUGUUAGAACUAAUCACAAAUGUGCAUAUAAAAGAAUAGAUGCAAUUGAGUAAAAAAAAUAUAGAAUAUAAAUGAUUUCUUUUAGAGCUAAAGCUAUGUCCACUAGAGAAUAUAUACAAGAAUUUUAUUUCAUUAGAUAAUACACUUAUUGUACAAUAUAAUGAUGUCUAUACGAGAUCUAGGCAAAAUUCUAAAAAAAAAUAUUCCUAAUUCUAGUAUCUUUAUUAAAUUAGCUCUUAAUUGGAUGUGGAUCAAUUUAUAAAGGUUCUACCUUUGCACCAUUGCUAAAAAAAGGGGCUAAAAACAAAUCCUUCCAACCUCUCUCUCCCCUCGUUUUUUAGAACUACCAUGAAGGUUAUUAGAAAUUGAUGGACAAAGUCCACUAAUAGAACUCAUAGUGACAUAAUACAAGACACAUAUUAGCAAUUAUAUCUUAAUUUUUUUAAAAGAAGGCUUUCAACAAUAUAUUUUUUUAUAUAUAAUCAUUUUUAUUUUAAGAUAUUAGUUAAAUUAAAUUUUUUUAUAGAUAGAAAAUCUAAUAUAUUAUAUUAAAAUUCUUCUAAUAAAAUAAUUUGAAUUAUUUAUGAAAAAAAUAUUCUAAUUUUAAAUAUUUUAAAUAUAUUAUAUUUCGUAUGAAAAUUAAAUAUAUAGUAAUUUAUAUAUAGAUAUAAUUAUAUAUAUAGUUUGAUUAUAAAAAAAUAUACAUAAAAAUAAUAAAUAUUUUUUCAUACAAAUCUUAAUUUGUUUAACGUAUUAAACUUAAAAUCAAGUUUUUUUCUUUUAAUAUAUAAUUAUGAAUAAUAGAAAAUUUAAAACUAAAAUUUUAUAUUUACUCUACUUUUGAACCAUUGCAAAUUGAUUUUUACAAAAUAAAACUAUUACUAUAUUAAAUCCUCUAUUAAAUUUUAAUUCUAUUAUUUUUACAUGAUAUAAAUUAUAUUAUAACUUUGAUAUAUAUAUAUAUAUAUAUAUAUAUAUAUAUAUAUAUAUAUAUAUAUAUAAAUAAUAAUUUUAAGUUAAUUUUUAUGUUAAACCAAUUUUCAUUAAAUCCUAUAUACAUUUCUAAAAAAUAUUUACUUUUAUAUUUUAAUUUCAAAAUAAAUAAAUAUUUAUAAAAGAAGAAGUAAAAAUUUUAAAAUAUUUUUUAUCAUUGACAUAAAAAUAAUAAAAAUAUAAAUAAAUAAUAAAAUUAUAUAUUUUAAAAUUAUAAUUUUUUAUUUUUUUUCUAAUAAAUGAAGACCUCAUUUAAAUACAAACUAUAGCAUUAAAGACUGUUAAGUAUUAGUUGAAAUAAAAAAUAUAUAUAUAUCAUAAUACAUUAGAUCUAAUAAAAAUAAAUAUUAGUUUUGGAAAUCAAAGAUUUUCAUCAAAACUUAAACAUCAAAUUUUCAGCUGCAUAUAAUCUUAACAAAUGUUUUAGAAAAGAUCUUUCUAACACCACUAACAAUUAGUUACAAACCAUAGACAUGAAAAAAGAAAAUAAUGAAACAAAAGACCAAUAAAAAUUAUAAAGAAAUAAAAUAAGGAAAAUAUAGGCUUUAAUAGCAACAAAACAACAAAAUCUAUUCUAAUAAAAUCCAAUUGAUAUAACUUAGAUAAAGAUUUUAAUAGUACCAUAUACCAAAUAUAUUAAAUAAAGUUUUUUUAGCUUAAAGAAAUCAAAAAGAUUAUUGAAUAGAAUAUUAAAAAAAAAUACGUAGGUACUUUUAAUUUCUUAGAAAUGCACAAUAAUAGAUUCAAAUUUAUAAUCGAAAUUUUUAAAAUUCCUCUUUAUUUGACUUGUACCAAAGUUUGGUAUAUUUGAAUAUGAAAAUUCAUGUUUAAGUCCUCUAGAUCUAUGUCUACAAUUGUAAAUCAUUGUACUUAAAAUAAACAUGAUUUCUUAAAGAAAUAUUAUUAUCAAAUUAUUAUUAAUCAUCUAAGUUGCAACAAUGCACAAUAAUCUUUUUGUACUAGUAUAUAUGUAUUAAACAACUUGAAAGAUAGACCAAAUCCUUUGACAAUUGAAAUGAGACUCAAUUAUACUAAACAACCACUACAUCAACUAGACUUAGGUCUACUAGAUUAUAUUUUUGCAAGAUGGUUAUAUCUCUACAUCAAGUAAUAUUACUAUUUUCUAUUCUAACAAAAAAAAAUAUAUUCAUAUUAUUAAAAAAUUAAUAUAAAUCUAAUACACAUAUGUAUUAUUUAAAGAUGGUAGUGAGCUUACAUAGAAUUCUAUCGCUAAUACAUAUUACUAUAGUAUAAAAUAUACAUAUAUUAUAAAAAUAUAUAGAGGCAAGAAUGAGCCAUUUUCACUCUUGUCAUCUCCUUUCUUGCUUCUAGUCUAGAUUUAAGAGUCUUUAGUUUCCUUGUCUUUUAGUAAUAGCUAUUUCAAUUUUUUUUUACUAUACAUAUUACUUUAUUGUUGUUUUGUCACUUUUCUUUUAAUACAGAUUUUUCAGGUUUAUGCAUCUUCUUCCAGUUCAUUUCCUUGACACAUUGACAAGAAUAUACUUAUAAUAUUAGAGCUUUGUCUUCUCUUGAUUAAGAGUGGAUUACUCAUUUUUCUCGAUAAAACAUAAGCAUAUUAGAAGUUGCAGAUUAUUCUCUUCUAAAAUAAUAUUAUUUUUAGUAUCUUCUUUAUUCUUAAGUCCCUUCUUUUGCUUGUCUUAAGGAAUAUUAGACAUUUAUUUUCUAAGUAUUAUUAUGGCAAAGCUUAUUGAAAUGAAGAGUACAAUGGCAUAAAUACAAGAGUAAUUGAGGAAGUUAAUACUUGCAAUACAUCAACUCAAUUUACUACCACAAGAAGCAACAAGAAUAGCACAAAGUAAGGAUAUAGAUAUGAUUGGAGCUGCUUCAACAUCUGUACUCAAUCAUAUCCCUUCUCCUACAGUAGAACAUCCUUCUAGUAUUAGAGAAACAAGAAGUUUUAUGGCACAAGAUCCAAGUUUCAAGGAUUUAUCAAUCAAAUCUAACUUGUGAUUGAACUUCAACUCUAAAGCUAUCAAAAUCUAGAAUCACAAGUUAGAUUCAUUGGUACACUUCUUUCAAGUUUAGUAUUAUUAUCGUUUUCAUCUUUUUUUGAAUGAUAAGAUCCAAUAUUAAAUGAUUUGAAGGCUUUUUUAGUGGAGUUUUUAUUCAUGUAUGAAAAACAUGAUACAACUUGUCUUGUAAUGAAGAAGAUUUGUAUUUUAGAAUAAAGCAAUCAAUCUGUAAUAUCAUAUGCUUCACAAUUUGAUAACUUACAAUUAAUAUCAAGUAGAAUGAUAUUGCAUUUAUUAGCCAAUUUCUCUAUGGAUUACAAUAUGAGGUAAAGAAAUUGAUGUUUAACUUAUCUGAUCCUCAAACAUUAAGUUACACAAUUUUCUUUGCUGUAAAAUAUGACAAUAGAUUUUUCAAAUUUCAAUCUGAGAGUCAGAUAAGUCGGCCUCAAUGUUACCAUAAUUUAAUAGCAACAGCAAUGCCUCCUCAACUCAUACAUUUAAAAGUAGAGGAUAUGCAAAUUGAUGUGAUAUGUUUCAAACCUCUUAUUGACUAAGAAAAGACUCAUCACCAUUAGAAAGGAUUGUGCUUAUAUUGUACAGAACCUAAGCAGACUACUCAAUAUUGUUCAAAGAAGCAACGUAAUUAUAAAAUGAAAAGUAUGAAUGUUAAAGAAGAUAAUAUAUAGGAAAAUAAUUUUGUCUAACUAUAAUACAGAUCAUGUCACUCGAACCUUGUACAAUACCUAAUGAAGGUCCUAUUCUCUCCUUAGAAUCCUCUUUUUGUUUUAUAUUAAAUAUUAUUUUAGGACCUAUACAUUACAAAGCCUCUUCCUUGUUAGAUUCAAGAGUCUCAAUAUAUUUCUUAGAUGAAGAAUUUGCUAAAAGACAUAACAUAUCUUUAGUAAAUAAAAUUAAAAAUAUUCAUAUAAAAGUCAUAGAUAGUCGCCUAUUAUCUUUUAGAGAUGUUACUCACAAAAUCCUUCUUAUAGAAGUAAUAACUAAUAGUUAUAAUAGCUUUGUGGUAUUUAAUAUCAAUAGAUCUCUUUUUAAUCCAAUCAUUUUAGUAGUUAAAAAAAUACAACCCUUGAGUAGAUUGGAUUUCUUGUACUCUUGACUUUUCUAAAAAUAUAACUAAGAGUAUUAUUAAUCAAGUAAAAAAUCACAAGUCUAGUAUAAUUAAAUAUAUGUUUGUAGAUGCAAGAGCUUUCUUGUAUGUUAUAAAAGAAGGAUUAUCUUGUGUCAUUUAUGCCACACCUAUUUCUAAUGGUGCAAAGAUUUCAAGUAAUAUUCCAAGUCAAUAUUAGGAUUUUCAAGAUGUAUUUGAAAAAAAAAAUGUGGAUACUCUUCCAGAACAUUGUCCCUAUGAAUGCUCAAUUGACCUUCAAGAAAGAGUAAAAUUGCUAUUUGGAACAAUCUACAAUUUAUCAAAAAAUGAGUUGGCCAAAUCCAAAGGGUAUAUUAAAGAAAAUCUAGCUAAGAACUUCAUAUGCCAUUCCAAAUCUCUAAUAGAAGUUUUAAUUCUAUUUGUAAAGAAAAAAGAUAGAUCAUUGCGGAUGUAUAUUGAUUAUCAAGGACUCAAAAAGAUCACCAUCAAGAACAAGUACCCACUACCUUUAAUAUUUGGACUUCUUGAUCAGUUGAAUCAAGCUAAGAUCCAUACAAAAAUAGAUCUACGAGGAGCAUAUAAUUUGAUAUAUAUCAAAGAAAGAGAUGAAUAAAAGAUUGUAUUUUGAACUAGGUACAGACAUUUUGAAUAUAAUGUCAUGCCUUUUGGACUUACAAAAGCACCAACAGCUUUUCAACAUCUUAUGAAUGAUAUUUUUUGAGAAUUUUUAGACGAUUUUUUUGUCUAUUAUCUAGAUGACAUCUUGAUCUAUUCUAAGAAUACAAAAGAAUAUGAAUUUCAUGUUUAUCAUGUAUUACAAAAAUUAAGAGAUACAAGACUCUAUGCCAAGUUAAAAAAAAGUAUAUAUUUUAUACUACUCAAGGUGACUUUUUAGAUUAUAUCAUUUCAAAUAAUGGACUUAUGAUGGAUCCUAAGAAAAUUCAAAUUAUUAUGGAUUAGAAGAUCUUAAAAAUGGUCCGAGAUGUCCAAUAUUUUAUGGGAUUUGCCAAUUACUAUCAGAUCUUUCUCAAGAACUUCUCUCAAAUUGCAACUCUACUCACAUGUUUGACUUGUAAAGACAAACUUCAAUGGAAUCAAGAAGCAAAAGUAGUAUUUAAAGUUUUAAAGACAGCCUUUGUUUUUAUACCAAUCUUGUAUCAUGUUAACCUCUUGUAGAAUAGAUAAAUAAACUUUGUGGUAAGUUACUGGUUGGUUAUUGACAACCUUGAGAAUUAGACUGAUGGUUAGGCAGUUUAGCUGGUAACAGUAGGUUGUUAGUAGAAUAAAUGGUUAAGAAUUCAAAGGAUCAAAACCUUUGAAAUCCGAUGGCCAAUGGAUCAUCUUUUUGGUAGGAUAAAUAGGUUGAGGAAAGAAAGUUCGAGAGCCAGACUAAGAGUCGUAAGUCGGAAUAAGCUUGGUGCUACCUCUUUAUUUUCUUUAUUAUUUGCUUAUGAAGAAUGGUGAUUGAGAGAAGUAUUCUUAAAUUGAUAAUCAUAGAAUGGAUUAUUGGUUGAAUUAAGACGAAAGUAGUAAGCCUCGGUGUUUUGUAGUUUGAUACUUGAUUUCAGAUAGCCAGAAUAUAGUCAAUUGUGACACUAGUAGACCUAAUUCAUAUAACCAAUUUUUCCCCGUGUUCAAACCCAUCUCUAUUAUUUCAAUUGCUUUAGUCUACUAAAGCUUGAAUGCAAUGAGAACAACACUUCUCUAAGACAUUCUUUAUAGAAACAAAUACAUUGGACUUUACUUUGAAUGCCAUAUUAUCACAAAUAGAAAUAGAUGAUAAACUUCAUCUAAUAGCUUUUUAUUCAAGAAAAUUUUCAACAACCAAGAUUAACUAUGAGAUCUACGAUAAAUAGCUUCUUGUAAUUAUGGAUUCUUUUCAAGAAUAGCGUCAUUAUCUAGAAGGCACUUCUACUCCAAUCACUAUGUAUAUGGAUCACAAGAAUCUCAAGUAUUUCUUAUGAGUUCAUAUUUUGAAUCAUCUCCAAGCUUGUUGGAUCAUGUCUUUGUCAAGAUUUGAGUUUAAUAUCACUUAUUGGCCAAGAAAACAACAAUGUUUGUCUAAUGUAAUUUUUAGACAUUCUUAUCUUAUAUCUAAAGAGAGAAAUGCAGCUUUUGAUUAACAAAGGAAAAUUUUAUUGAAGCCAAAAUAAUUUCAUCUCUGAGCAAUGAAAUCAACAUUGACUUUUGAUUCAAUUUUUCUCAAACAAAUUCAAUCAAGUAUGUCCUUUAAUUCUCUUGUUUAUGAUAUUAAGAAUACUUCUUCUAAGUCUCGUGAUAUUUCUAAAUUUGAGUUUAAGAACAACCUACUUUAUUUCAAAGGAUGCUUAUAUGUGCCACAAAAAGAAGCAUGUUUACAUGUUCUUCAAGUACAUCACGAUUUUUUAGCAGUAGGACAUUUUAGAUACUACAAGACUCUUGAGCUAAUAUCUAGAGAUUUUUGGUGGUUGCAAAUGUGGAAGGCUAUAAAAGACUUUGUUCAAUUGUGUGACAUUUGUUUAAGGUCAAAAAUUCCUAGGCAUCAACCUUAUGGACUUCUUCAACUAUUACCUAUUCCAAAACAAAUAUAGUCUUCUAUUUCUAUGGAUUUUAUUAUGGAUCUUUGAGUCUCAAAAUCAUGUGAUUCUAUAUUUGUGAUAAUAGAUCAUUUUAUCAAAAUGGCAUAUUUUGUACCAUGUACAAAACCUAUCAGAGGUGAAGAAAUUGCCAAGCUUUUCCUUGACAAUAUCUAUCGAUAUCAUGGAUUGUCAAAAGAUAUUAUAUCAACUAAGAAGACUCAAUUUAUAUCAAGAUUUUGGAGAACUCUUUUUAAGAUUUUAAAGGUGGACAUAAAGCUUUUUUUGUCCUUUCAUCUUCAAAUUGAUGGAUAGACAAAGUAUAUAAAUCAAGUUUUGGAGCAAUACUUAAGGUGUACCAUCAAUUAUCAACAAGACAAUUGAAGAACCCUCUUGCUAUUGGCAGAGUUUGCUUAUAAUAAUACAAUGCAUUCUUCUAUGCAAUAAAUAUCUUUUUUUGCCAAUUAUGGUUAUCAUCCAUGAUUUGAUACUUUUGAGUUUUUAAAAGUUGAUAAUCUUACAACAGAAGGUUUAAAAAAUCAUUUGUCAAAGCUACAUGCAACAAUGAAGGUGUAAUUAAACGAAGCUCAAGAACAACAAAAAAUCAACAUAGAUGCCUAUCAAAAAGAACAACCACAAUUCAAUGUAGGUGACAAGAUAUAGUUGCUUCAUUGUAAUAUCAAGACUACUCGUUUUUGUGAUAAGUUGUACUACCACAAGCUUGGACCUUUUUCUAUUUGUGGACAAAUCAAUCCAAUUGUUUAUCGAGUAUAUCUACUACAAGCAAUAAAGAUCCAUCUUGUCUUUCACGUAUCUCUUCUUGAAUCAUACAAGACUAUGAAGAUACUCAGAAGAAGACAAGCUUUACUUCUUCCUAUAGAAGUGGACAAUAAUCAAGAGUUUGAAGUAGAAGAAAUUCUAGACUGAAAGAGAUGCCAAAAUAAAUUAGAAUAUCUUUUCCAUUGGAAUGGAUAUGAUAUUAGUGAAUGUACAUGGGAGCCAAUAAAGAAUCUUACAAAUAUAGCAAAGGUGGUGGAGGCUUUUCAUUGACAACAUCCUUCCAAAUCAAAAUAAAAAAUAGUAAGUCUUUGCUAUAAAAGAAAUAAGGUCUAGGGAAGAUUGUAUUUUAUCUUCUAUCUUUUUUUGUAGCUUCUGUAUAUUUGUGACGCUAAGAAGAUGGAAAGCCAAUAAUUAUUAGAUUCAACUCAAGAGCUUUCAUUUGUGGACUUAUUAGACAAGAUAUUGCAAUUGUUACAACUUUUAAGAUGACAAAAUCAAGAUGAAGUUCUUCAAGAACAACAUAUCCUUCUUCAAAUAGAAGGUGAAAUACAAUAAGUUUGAUAUCACAACCUUGGAAGAGACUCUCAAUGUUUGAUAAUUUUAUUAGAAAUAAGAACAAUUCCUAAUGGUAUUUCAAAUAUUUUAUUUGAAGCAAGUUACGAAGGCCUGAACAAUGACCAAAUAAUAGGGUGGUCUUGUCGCCCUGAUAUGGGAUACUAUCAAUGGCUGAGAGGGCCUAUCAACUAUCAUCAAAGAGAACAAAGAUUGAAGAAUGUGGCAAAUACAAUUCAUCGCAUCUUAGAUUUUUUCAACAUAUAAAAAUCGCUUCUCAUGGAACUUAUCUCUAGAAGGAGAGAUAAUAUCACGAACAUAUACAUGUAAACCAAUAAUUACCUACAUGAUUAGAUAAAAGUAGGUAAAAGUAGAUUAAUUCCAUAAUAACUUCUAUAGAAACUUCUUAAAAGCUUUAUAGACACUGCUUUGACUUUAUAGGUGUCUAUAAUUGACUUUUUAGAUUAGAAACAUGAUCAACAAGUCGGCCAUGUGCCACACAUAUUGGUAGUUAGAAGAAUAAGCUAAUUGUGUGGCCCACAUGUAAAAAACUUGUCUUAUAAGCUAAGGCAUGUAUCCUCCAAAGUCAACAUAUAUUAGAGGUCAUAUAGAACAUUGCGACAUAGCUACUAGUUAGAUAAUAUAUAUAGAGGCAACAAUGAAGCCCUCUUCAUUCUUGUCAACUCCUUUCUUGCUUCUAGUCUAGAGUUAAGAAUCUCUAGUUUCCUUCUCUUUUAGCAAUAGCCAUCUAGUUUUCUUUUAAUAUACAUAUUACUUUAUUUUUAUUUUGUCACUUUUCUUUUAAUAAAAUUUUUUCAAGUUUAUGCAUCUUCUUCCAAUGCAUGUCCUUGACACAAAGCUAAAAUUAUAUGAUAUAUUAUUCGCCAAUGCAUAUAAUACAAAAGAUUUAAUUCUAAAAAUUUUUAAAAAAUCUUAAAUGCUCAAAUAUCUAAAUGAUUUUUAAAUUAUUUUUACUUAAAAAUUCGACUUUAUAAAGCAAUAUCAAAUUAAAAACUAAAAUAAAAAUAAUUAUUUAAAAAUAUUAAUAGAUUAUCUUUAAAUAUACAUUAUUUGACUAAAUAUUAUUUGAAAUAGAUUACAAAUUCUAAGAUUUAGAAAUAUUUUUGUAAAGUAUAGAAAUUCAUUACUAAUAAUUUUAAGUUUAUGUAACUUUAUUAAUUUUAUUCUAUCACUAAUUUUUUCUUAUUGAAUAAAAACCACAUAUUUAUUUAGUUGAAAAUACUAUGUUAUAAAAAAUUAUUAUUUAUCUAUACAAGAUAAGAAUCUACCAAAUUAAAGACAUCUAAUAGAAACAUUUUAAAAAUAUAGAUAGAAUACAAAUUGGUUAGCUUAAGACUUACUAUGUUAGUUCCAACUAAAUCCAUAUGGAAGUCUAUUCUAUUACAACUUAUUACUUAAUAGACUUAGGCUCUACUAAAAAAGCUAUAAGAAAUGCAAGUAAAAAAAUAAAUAAUAAAAAAAUAAACUAUAUAUUUUGAUAUGAAAUAUUAUUUUAAAAUAUAUUAAUAUUUAUUAUGGAAGGACUAAUUAGCAAUAAGUUUUAGAUUCAAUACAAAAAAAAUCUUAAAAUAAACUACAUUACUCAAAGAAGUUUGAAAAAACCUAAAUCAAAUAAGAUAAACUAAGAUUAAAAAAUUUAAAAAUAUAUUUAAUUUGGAAUGAUACCUCUUCUCUUCUUCUCUCACCAUGGUAUCACACUAGAGACUAAGUCUUCUACAAUAAAUUGAUCCUUAUUUAAUCAACAAUCAUGUAUACUUUUUAUAUUUUAAAAUAUAUAAUUAAAUAAAAAAAAUGUUAAAUAGAUCCAAGCUUUUACAAAAAUUAUCCACCCAUCUUAACUAUCAUGAAAAAAACAAACAAACAAACAAAGAAAAAAGAAAAAAGAAAAAAUGACCUCUAGAUUCAUUUCACUAAUAAUAGAUCCAAAACCAAUGAAAACCAAUCUCAUUCAUCAUGACUAUCAUAUUGUUCACCAUGGACAAGUCUAUUUAAUAUUCCUCUAAAUAAAUGAUGUGUGUGUAUAUAUAUAUAUAUAUAUAUGUGUGUGUGUGUGUGUGUGUGUGUGUGUGUUUAUUCAUAUAUACACACUCAACCAUUUUGUUUAUUAAUAAAUAUAUUUAAAUACCCACCCAUUCUAAAUAAAUGAUGUGUGUGUGUAUAUAUAUAUAUAUAUAUAUAUAUAUAUAUGUGUGAGUGUAUGUGUGUGUGUGUGUGUUUAUUCAUAUACAGUGUCAAACAAAACCGAGUACAAAAUCUGAAGUGCCAACUUUCAAGAGCAAUUACAGAAAUUUCAAUGAUUGCUUUAUAAAUUUGAAAGUUACAUGGAAUAAUACACACAGUCUUGUACACAUGUACAAAGUUGCACAUCAAAUUGAUAACUAAACAUCCUUCUACAAAGUCAAAUCAACAACUAUGUCUUGUACUCAGUAUUGUUCAAAGAAAAUCUUCAAACUUCAAUAUUUAGUCCAAUAACCUUUUGCUUCCAAAACAGCUGAAAUCCUUCUUGGCAUACUUUUGUAUAGUUUCUCACAAUCUUUUGCAUCAAAACUAGGGUAAAUACUACAAAUAUUCUCCCACAAUUCUUGAACACUUCUUGGCCUUGGAGUGACUUGGCUUAAACGCUGUUUGAGAAGGGUCCAAAAAUAUUCCAUUGGAUUCAAAUCUGGAGAUUGAGUUGGCCAUCGAAGGAGCUGAAAUGGCUGUGAAGCGAGCCAAAACUGAACACUUUUUGCCGUAUGUUUGGAAUCAUUAUCAUAUUGAAAAACCACCUUAGUAGGAUCUAAGUUGUAAUUCUGUGUGAUACUUUGCAAGUAGGUUUCUAAAAUUUUUUUUGUACAAGUAUUGCUCCAUUCUACCUUCAAUUUGAUACCAAGCACCCGGCCCAAAAGCAGUCAUAGAACCCCAAAUCAUAAUUGAACCACCACCAUGUUUGACAGUUUGACUAACAUGUUUAGGUCCAGGUCGUUCUCCUUCUCUCAACCAACACCAAGACCUACCAUCUGAGUUGAUUAGGUUAAUCUUUGUCUCAUCACUGAAAAUAACCCGUCUCCAAUCAUCAACGGUCUAAUUUUUGUAUUUAUGAGCAAAACUCAACCUUGCAAGAAUAUGUCUUUUGGCAAGUAGAGGCUUCUUUUGUUGCACACAAGCACCCAAACCAGCUUCUCUCAAACCACGCCUCAAGGUGAUGUCUGAGAAGUGUUUACCUGUUUUUUCUCGAAGUUGUUUUGCAACUGCACUUGCCGUUUUGAGACAACCAACAGUAACAAGGUGCACACCAAGUCGCUUCUCUUGCUCUCCUAAAACCUUUGGACGUCGUCCUCUUUGCUUUUCUAUUUCACCACUAAUCUCCCUCCUCAGAUGAGCUACUGAAGACUGACUCAUUCCAAGUGAGUCUGCAACUUUUUUUGUAGAAACACCACUCCUAAGCUGCACCAAUGCUUGGUGCUUCAAUGAUUCACACAACUGAGGCAUAGAGAUACAAUUGACAAAUCAACUUUCACUAUAGAUAGUACACAACAAGAGCAAUACAACAAACAAAAAAUGCCCUCAAAUCUUGCAACAAGGAGUGUACAUUGAAAUUUCGAAAUUCAGCAAGAAGAAGCAACCAAAACUGAGUAUGCACGUCUGUGUGCUUCUACAACACUUUUCUCAUAAAACCUACCUCAAAUGAUAAUGAGAUUUUUCAUCCAUAUAGAGGAUUGGAUGAAUACACACAAUAAAAAAGUAAUUCUAUCAAUUGACUUAUGUGUCAGUUGGAAGGAUCAAUGAACUAUGAGUGUUCAGAUUUUGUACUCGGUUUUGUUUGUCACUGUAUACACACCCAACCAUUUUGUUUAUUAAUAAAUACAUUUAAACACCCACCCAUUCCAUAAGGCUUGGUAAGGAAGGAAGGGAAAUGGCGGGUACUCCGGCAGCACAAGAGUAGAAUGUGCCCAAUUGCAGCAGCACCGACGUGGAUGUAGGGCGUGGAAUUUGUGAGGACUCGGAGGCAUGGAAUGGAUGUGAGGUCGGGAGGGCGUGGGUUUUCAUGUGGAAAUCAGGGCCCAUGUCCAUGACUGGUGGACACCAGCAGCUGGACCCCUCCACCGUGGAUGUGGCGAAUGCCCCCGCAGCGUCCCACCCGCGAAUGGAUGACGGAUAGAGCUUGCCGCUCUCGCCCGGCCCGGCCCUGCCCCGCCCUUCCCCCAUCUUAUCUGAUUCCAAUCCCCGCUUGUGGCUUGGAAGACCUUCGCCAUGGCACAUAUCAAGCACCCGUGUACCCCACCUCCCCUCCGUAGCAUCAUCGACCCCCAUUGCACCCCCCUCCCUCUCUUGCUCCGGCAAGCCUCUUGCUGGAUCUCUUCCCCAUGGCUUCCACCGCGUUCGCCGCGGCCACUGCACCCAGCUCUGCCUCCCUCAAGGUACCAUUCGUCUCCUGUACUUGGCUGCAUUGCGUUUUUGUCGAUGUCUGUGGUCAUGCAUUUCUCCUGGAGUACGUUGAUCAUGUCCUAGUGGGGCGAGGUCAUGGAUGCGACGCUAGUAAUUGUCUGAGCAGUGUGUUAGAAUUCCUUUUUCUUGGUUCAGUUAGUUGAGAAUGUGGGUCGACGAGUUCGUCUUCGUCUACAAUUCGUGAAAUGCGCACUGAAUUGCCGUCGUUUGGUUGAUUGGUUCGUCGUUAUGUGUUGUUGAGAUUGGUAGUCGUUGUAGGAGAUGCAUUGUUGUCCAUAGUGGGUGCAGGAGAUGGUAUUCGGCUGAGUCUGUUCUAGGUGGUUCUAUAGUUGAUGCGGUUGUGAGAUUUGGAUUAAAAGCUAAAUGAAUUGAAGAAUCGAAACCCAAAUCCAGAAGGUGGUAUUGCAAACUUUGGACGCUACUGCACGGAAUCUACUGAUACUUAUUAAGUAUUGAGUGUUUUGCAUAUUAUAUGGUCCAGCUCCUAUGCGCAUCCUUAUCUAUUCAGGAUGCGAUUCACUGAGAAGGAUGUGUUGCCUGGGUUUCGACGCGAAUUAUGAGUGGUGCAACCCAGAGGCUUCGGAGACAGGGUUGCCCAAAGAUGUCUGGAGCAUGGAAUUAUUUGCUAGUCAUUCCGUAUGGACCCGAACUCACAUUUUUUGUUUCUGCAGGUUGCUGGAUGUAAUGGAUUCUCCGACUUCUCCGGAAUGAAGAGCACCAACGCUGUCACAUUUGGCAAGCGCUCCGAUGACCUCGCCACCAUUGUAUCAGCUCAGUCCGCAGUGGUAUGACAUUUGAGUUGCGACUAAUUGACUUCAUCUUUGCGGUUCGAUGAGUCUUCCUCAUUUUGUACGCUGUGUAACGUGAAUCAAUCUUGUUAUGAAAUCCAGUUGCUGGUGCAUGUUCACAUCGGUUAAUCAUUUGACUGGUUGUGGUGUAGGCUGCCAGCUCCGGCGCCACCAGGGCCGUCACCGAGGCCAAGAUUAAGGUCGCCAUCAAUGGAUUCGGACGCAUCGGUCGUAACUUCGUCCGCUGCUGGCAUGGGAGGAAGGACUCACCCUUGGAUAUUGUUGUCAUCAACGACACCGGAGGCGUGAAGCAGGCGUCUCAUUUGUUGAAGUACGACUCCAUGCUCGGGACAUUCGAUGCCGAUGUUAAGGUGGAGGGCAAUGACGCCAUCAGCGUGGACGGCAAGGUCAUCAAGGUGGUGUCCGACAGGAACCCACUCAACUUGCCAUGGGGGUAAGUACGCGUUGAUGACUCUACCCCCGGCCAUUCGCUGUAGGAUCUCGUACUGCUCAAUUCCUGUAUGUCAAUGUCUCAUUUCAACCUCACAUCCACCGAGUUGAAAAACAGUUCACGAAUCAUGAGCUGACAGUGCUCACACGUUGUUGUUGUUGAUACUCAUCAGGGACAUGGACAUCGAUCUCGUCAUCGAGGGAACCGGAGUGUUUGUGGACGAGGCCGGUGCUGGCAAGCACAUCCAGGCUGGAGCCAAGAAGGUAUUGAUCACCGCUCCAGGCAAGGGUCCCAUCCCUACCUACGUGGUGGGAGUGAAUGAGCAAGACUACAAGCACUCUGACACCAUCAUCAGCAACGCCUCCUGCACCACCAACUGCUUGGCACCCUUCGUGAAGGUGUUGGAUGAGAAGUUCGGCAUCAUCAAGGGUACCAUGACGACCACUCACUCAUACACCGGUGACCAGAGGCUGCUGGAUGCGUCCCACCGCGAUUUGAGGAGGGCUCGCGCUGCUGCUCUCAACAUUGUGCCCACCUCCACGGGAGCUGCCAAGGCCGUGGCGUUGGUGCUGCCCAACUUGAAGGGCAAGAUCAACGGAAUUGCCCUGCGUGUGCCAACCCCAAACGUGUCGGUUGUGGACUUGGUCGUCCAGGUGGAGAAGAAGACCUCCGCCGAAGAGGUGAAUCAGGCAUUCAGGGAUGCCUGCAACACCGACCAGCUGAAGGGUGUGUUGGCAGUGUGCGACGAGCCACUCGUGUCAGUAGACUUCAGGUGCACUGAUGUGUCAUCGACCGUGGACUCAUCUUUGACAAUGGUGAUGGGAGAAGACAUGGUGAAGGUUGUUGCGUGGUACGAUAACGAGUGGGGAUACUCCCAGAGGGUGGUUGAUUUGGCAAACCUUGUUGCUGAGAAGUGGCAAUAGAUCUCUUCAUGUAACAAUUGCAGGCGAAGUUCAAUUUUAGUGCAGCUGCAGUCCCGGAUUGAUUACUUUGAAUCUGGAUGUCGCUGGUUCUUUGUAUGGUUUUACGUCACUCCUAUUUAUCCUAGUGUAGGUCCGAUGUAGCGAGUGAUGGAAUGGUUCAAUACUCGAAUAGACGGGUUUGCAAUUGCAAAUGUGUCUUGAAAGUGGAAACGAACUUCAAAUAGUGCGUCCCAACCUGUAUUAAUUCGUCCAUCUAAUCUAUCCGCCACCUCGAAAAUGGGAAUUUUUUUUCUUACUUCAACUGCCUACUGUCUGCAUAAAUCUCGCCUUAAGCCCGUGCAUUCGUCGGAAAAUUUUCCUUAUUUUCAAAUACCCUGAUCAUGUUGGAGACUUACGAAAGUGCUGCGAAAGUGACAGUACCCUGUUUCUUAUCACCACAUAUUCUAUUGGCUAUUGUUAAAUUUCUGUGAUAUAUCCAUCCAGACUACAUACUUAGCUGCCUCGUACACAAUCCAUAUUCACACCAUGUAACUAAUCACAUAACAUCCAGUACUUUGGAGAGAAAAAGAAGACAACUUUCACUUCUAGAUGUUACCAUCACAUCCUCUUUAGAGUGUAAGAAAAUAACUUGAGAAUAGAUUUCGUAAGGAGAAAUAUAUUAACAAGAAGUAACUUUUUUUUUUCAAAUUAUUUGAAUUUCUUAAAUUGAGUAUGGUAGACAUCGUCGCACCGUCACGAAAAAAAAAAAAAAAAAAAAAAAAAAAAAAAAAAUGUUGCUUUUUCGAUGCUUUUCUGAUACUUUGCUAGCUUUCGACCACAAACACUGUCCUCUUUUGCAUGCUUAUUCUUUUUUAUGUCGUCUUUCCAGUGCUCUGACGAUGUCUUUUGGACCACUGCACGCCACUGCAGAGCAAGGUUCAUUCUAUGCCUUAGGCUUCACUUCGGCAUAAGCUCAGGCCCGAGAAAUCACAAUUCGAACCAAUGGUGUCGGUUAUGCUCCACACGGUCAUCGGUUUCCGUGGUCACAUGGUCCCCAAGUCCUAAAGCCGAGUCGGGGAGGGAACAGUUAACUCUUUCCAAUAACAAAGUGGGCGUUCGUCACAUGCCCAUCACAUGCCCGAUGUGGCAUGGUCACAGGCGAAAAGGUGGGCAUGAGGGAAGUGUUGGGAAUGACAAGGUCACCUUAAGCCGUGAAAUCCUAUAGCUAGACUGGCUCCAAUCUAUCCUUUCUACCAACCCUUCCCAGCCGACGCUGGCCCGUGCUUCGGUGCCAGUCCUGCGAUACAAGGGCUUGGUGAUGCUCUGGAACCCAUCAUCUCGUUCCCCAAGCUCCCACGUUCCCUCUACUGCUGCCUUCCAUACCUCUUAUCUUUUCCUUUUCUGGCCCUCUUUCUUUCCACCUCUCCUUCCGUUCUAUCCCUCCGCCCACUUUUCUUUCCAUUUGUUUCUUUUUCUUUUUCUUUUCCAACUUUUGUUUCCUUUAUUUUUUUCGUUUUUUUUCUUGUCUGGGGCUGUGUCCUAUUCAGUAAAAGGACCAAGUGAUUCAAGAUUAUCUUUUACUUUUUCAUUACUGUUUAGAUGGUGUAGUUUCCAAGUGUUGUUCAAAAAGCCCAUCCCACUCUCAACUUUAUCCAGUUUUUGAGAAUAAGUGUUUUCAAAUGCUAUGGGAUAAAUUUUUCUUAUUAUUAACUUGGUAGCCCUAUUCUGCUUCAUGUCUUAAACUGUUUGUGGAACCCCCACCUUUUCUUUUUCUUUUUUAUGUUAAUAUGAAUUUUAAUCAACCCUGCUUAUGUUCCUUAACUCCACAUUUAUCUAACAUGUGUAAAUGUUUUAAUUUUGUAGCAAUUCAUGACCAUCAUCUAUGUUUAUUGAUAGCCAUUUGAUCAAGUCUGUUGAUGAUGAUAACAAUAUGACAAUGACGAAACUACUACAAGUCAGUCAAUAAAAUAAAAUAAAAUAAAAAUUUUGUGCUAAUUCUUUAUUAAUAUUUAAACAUUAUAAUCAAAUUAGUUUCACAUGGAAAAAGAAAGAAAGAGAGUGUGCUUGCCCCAAAAUGAAGUUGUCAUCAAUACUUUUAAAAUUUUAUCUGUCUAUUUUUAGAUUUAAUAUUAUGUACUAACAUUUUCAGGCAUUAUGUAUUCAGAAACAAGUGUGUGUGUAUAUAUAUAUAUAUAUAUAUAUUUAAAGUGUUUUAUUACAAAAGAUACAAAUAUAAUCACCAGUGUGAGACAAUACAACUUUGUGUGUGUAUAUAUAUAUGCAUAUAUUUCUUUUCAUAAAAUAUUAAGAAUGAUAUGAAUUAAAGAGGAUUUGACUGUAGCUAUUGGCAGUGCCCAUUCAUAUGUGCCAAUGGUUGCUUUAGAUAUCCACUGCCAAUGCCUCCCACAUUCUGAUAGUUUAACUAUGUAAUUCAUUCAGUCAUGCCAAUUUACAUUCAAUACAAUUUCCAUUUCAUAUUUUUAUAAAGUUACUCUUUCAUAGUAUUGACACUUUUUAUAGCAACUUUUCUCCAUAUAAGAUGUUUUGAUAUGUAUCUGGCCAACAAGAAUUUUUCAAAGUGCAACUUGUUUUUUCUGUGUUUGUGAUUGACCCUAUCAAUCAAUUGACAUAUUGAAUAAAAACAUUACUUUUCUUUCUUUUCUUCUUGUAGUUAUGCUCUCAUAAUUUUAUGAUUUUUAAAACCUUCAAAAUAUUAUUUUGAAAAGUCAUUUGAUUUAUUAAAAUUAUAUAUUUAUUCAAUAUAUAUAAAUAUACACACUUUAAUUGAAAUUAUUUAUAACUUUCUUUGUUGUCUCAUCAUCAAUAAAAAUACUAGAUUUUCUUGUUUAUUUUCUUGGGUGAUAAAAUUUAGAUUAUUUAGACAAAGUAGAGAUUUAUUCUAACACACAAUCAGUUGAUUUAUAAAAUCACAAAAUAAAAAAAUGAAAGUUAUAUAAAAUUACAUAUGUGAAAAGCUUAACUAAAAACAUGCUUUCUUUUUCUUUUUCUUUUUCUUUUCUGUAGGAAUUUAAUUAUUGUUUUGAAGAUUGUUAUUUUGAGGCACCAAUAAAUUUAUUUGAAAUAAAAUUCAUAUAAUAAAUAAAUAAGCAAAUUGUUAUAGUUAUUUUUAAAAAUAUCUUAAGUGGAUUAAACUCUCAAUAAAACUUUUACAAAAAAAUAUGUUUGUAUGAUGUUUGGUUAUUUAGUUUUGCAUAAUGAUUCAUUGUUAAUUGUAUAUAAUUGCUUUAACAUAUAACUCUUGAAACAAAACAAGGGCUCCUAACACUAACUCUGGUUAUUAUUAUUAUUAUUGUUAUUGUUAUGAUUUUAAAGUUUUCUAAAUUUCCAGGCAUAAUUAUUUAACAAAAAUAUUUUCCAAAAACAUAUUGUUUUUUAACUGGUGGAGUCUUUAUGAAUUUAGAGUAUUCAAUUUUUAUGCAGUAGCAUAUGAUUUGGAAAAUCAACUGUAAACACGUCAUGCAAUAAUCAUAUCUAAACUAUUUAAAGAACUUAAAAAAACAACAAAAAAGUAAAUGAAGUCUAAAAAUACAUCAUUCUAGAGCAAUAAAAAUCCAAUAAAAAUAUUGUGAAGCAAUAAUAGAGAGAAAUAAGAAAAAAACAUCAAAAAAUCGAAUAAAGAUUUAAAAAAAAAAAAACACAAUAUGUGGGAUUUUUUAAUCCUGAAAAUGAAAUUAUGACUUUAAAGUAACCACCAUUGAUCAAAUAAAGGCAAGUCAAUCCAAAAUUUCCACCAUUAUCACAUGUAGAUAAACAAAAGAAAGAAACCCAUCAAAUCAACACCAAGAAAAAAGUAUUUAAAAAUACUUUACAUCCAAUUUUCCAUGGUUUAUUUUUGAAAAAAUAUUCAAAAAGAGGGAAUAAGAAGAGAAGCCAUUUGUUUUUUUCGUGUGGCCUUCCGGACAGGCUGGAGGGAAAAAAUGAAGGGAAGGAACUCGAAGGAACAGAAGAUAGGAACUCGGGGAACAGAAUAUGGGAACUUGGGGAACAGGGGAUGGGAUCUACAGGGAACAGAGGGUGGGAACUAGGGGGAACUGGAUAGGGGAACGCAAUCCCAACAAAGCUCACACUGAUUGAAGUGGAAAACAGAAGAGAGACGAUGGAGGGGCCCAAAUGAGACAUGGCACCUCAGCGACAUUACGUCCUUUUCCGCAACACCUGAAAUCUGAACAAGCUCAAGAUUCGAUCGGGGGCCAAUUUCCAUCCAGAUUUAGAUCCUCUCGAAUGGCCAGAUAUUUUCCCAUAGUAAAAGUACCCACGUGGACUAAAACUCUUCUUCCCUCUCACGUAUUGCCAUCUGGACGCCUCUGCACGUCUUUUUAGAUAGGCAAUCACCUCCCGGAGUUCCCACCACGUUCUCUGCACGUUCCCAGUACGUCUCGGCAGAGUUCGCAGCUUCUUCACCUCUCCGUGCGUAGCGAACCUUAAAGGGACGACGACGUCUAUUUUCGUGCCAAUCAAGGUGCGUUUGUGUCUGUUGACUGGGACUGUGAUUGAUCCCCUUUGAAACUCGAAUUCGGUACUUUAGUUAUCGGCAAAAGCUUACUGCAUCUCUACGGGACAUAAUACAAUCUGUCAUGGUCUAGAUUUCCAGCCUCCUCACCCGUUUCGGAAAAUCUCGCACGUUGUGGGAUUGUCACCAGCAGCGCACGGUUACGGCGUGAGGGAAAGCAACAGGAUGGAUUUACUGGAGGCGAUGCGAAUCGGCUUUCGUUUCGGCGUGCGUUUGGUAAACUAAGGUUUGGGAUUGUUUGGAGUGGUUGAUUGAAUUUCCCUUGGACAGGCUGUGGCGUUGGCGCUGGUCGUCGCUGCCCCCCCUCAGAACACACUUUUGCGACGCUGGCUCUUGGUGCGCUUGGUGGCUAUUGCGCGGGCCUGUAGUUUGGCUUUGUUGCUGCUGCGAGGCAGCUAUCCGUUUGUGUUGUGUUCCGGAGGUUCUAACAAGCUGCCGGUCGCAUCUUUUGGCUCAAAUUUGGCUCGCAACGGUAGUGGUCUUGGUGUUUGGCGACGGGAUGUAGAUUCAUUGGGCCGUGCAGUUGUGCCAUUCUGUUGCGUCGGAGCUUGUGAUGGAGCUCGGAGGGUGACUGCUGGAUUCUGCUAAAGAGAUUGAGUUUCGGUCAAACCUUGAGGAGAGGGAAUUGAGUUGUGUUUGGCUGUAUCUGACGGCACGAUUCGGUGGCUGAAAUGGCGCAGUCUGGCUGCUUGGACGUUGGUGAUGGAGAAGUCUUGGUGGAUAGUGGACAUCGGAUUGGGGUAGUUAGCAUCUGAGAUGAUUUCAGUAGGUGAAUCGUAGAUGUCGUGAUGUGCGCGUUUGGAAUGAUGUGGUGAAAGAGAUGGUUCUGGUCGCACUAGUGUGCAUGCAUGCGUGUGUGCGUGCUCUUCGGAGCUUAAAGAUCCCGACGAGUUUUUGUGAGGUUCGCGUCCAUUUGCAUCGCGUAGAAUCUGGUGUAUGAUUCAUCUUCGAAGAGCUUUUUCCUCAUCCGUGUCCAGUUCUGGGUAUUUAGGGUUUUCGAUGUUCUCGUGGUCGCUGGCUCGAAUAAUGCGGUGUGCGAGGAUACUUUCCUGAGUUAAUUUCUAGGAAGAGGUCGGAUUGCCUCUCGCUCGGGGUCAAAUUGAUUGUGCCUGACCGCAGAAUGAGCAUUUGAGCGUGCUGCAGAGUGCAAGCGUGAACUCUCUCAAUUAUUGAGAUUUGGAGAUUGAGUAGAUGGCUUGAGUAUCUUUGCCUGGAUUCCCAGCUUAGUUCCGGUAGUCAGCCAUCGAGCCAAUCUGCGUUAGAUCCUUGGCUAUGGCAAAGUGCGGGAACGAAGUGGAGCUUUGACAGGAAAUCAAUAAGUGGUGUGAAUAUGGAGGGAGGGACAUGUACUCAGGGCUCGAUAGGACCUCACGUUCCGUCCGUGGCAGCUGUAAAGCAAGAACCACGGACGGGCUCCUGGUCGUCACAGGACAACAAGUGCGAGUUGGCAAUGGCAUCAAAGCCGGCACUGGACAAGGACUUUCUCUGCCCUAUUUGCAUACAAACAAUGAAGGACGCCUUUUUGACUGCAUGUGGACACAGCUUCUGUUACACGUGUAUUAUGACACAUCUGAGCAACAAGAGUAAUUGUCCUUGCUGUGGACAGUACCUUACCAAUAAUCAACUGUUCCCGAACUUUUUGUUAAACAAGGUGACAGCGUGUGCUUACAUACCGUGACUUUUAUAUCUCGGAAUAUAUUGAUCUGUUUUCAAUUUGAGCUAAAUCUAUAACCCCGUCGUCUUAUGGAUUCUUAUGUUUCCAGCUUAUGAAUAGAGGUGCUGUUCUAUAAAUUUGUUGAUACUGACCCGGUAGUCAUCUUACAAGCCCAGAAAAUAUUGAAAUUUUCGAUAUUGCUUAUUCUUGAAAUUAUGUUUUACAGUUGUUGAGAAAGGCCUCCGCCUCCCAGCUCGUCAGCAAUGCAUCUCCUGCUGAGCAUUUACGACUUGCUCUUCAGCAGGUUCGUUGUUUUCUUUUCCCAGCCACGCCCGUCUGAUUAUGAAUCGACCAGAUGGCGAUUAAAGAAGGGGAAUGAGUACUCAUUUGUGUGGAUGAGAGUGCUUGGUUAUGAUCCUUGACAUUUUUCUUAAGGUCCAAUAUUGGAGCUUAUUUUUUCUCAUUUCUGUGUCAGGGUGUAGACCUACCUGUAAAGGAGCUGGACUCACUCAUGCACUUACUUUCUGAUAAAAAACGGAAAGCUGAACAAGAAGAAGCCGAGGCCAAUAUGGAAAUUUUACUUGAAUUUUUACAUCGGUCUCGACAACAAAAGAAUGAAGAGCUUAAUCUUGUAAGAAAUUCCCGCUUAAUCCCAUAUAGGCAUUUAUGCUUUGAAUGAAGAGAAGAUGUCCGCUGAUUUGUUUUUAGCACUGUUUUUUACGAACUAGGUUCGUGCUCUUGGCAUUACAACACACUGUUGGUUUGGUCUAACUCUUCACCACAGCGAGGCUCCUCUUGCCCUUCACUGAUUAGUUAACCCUUUUGUAAUUCCAUGAAUUAACCGUAUUUGUCUGUAUUGACUGAAGCGCUGUGUACAUGCAGUUGCAAGGAGAUCUUCAGUUUCUCAAAGAAGACAUUAGCACCGUCGAGAAGCAGCGGCAAGACCUGUUACACAUUACGGAGAAAAAUGCUCUAAAGAUUCGCAUGAUCGCGGGUGGACCGUCAUCCUCUAGGCCAGAUACAUUAGCUACAAAUGAAAACACAAGUAAGGGUGAGGCAACUUCUCAGAGUCGAGGUGGUCAGUUUGGAGCGUCAGUACCAUCCAACUUGCCCCCAGCUAGUCUUAAGAGAGAUUACAGAGGACGUGUCACUUCUAUUGGGACCUACAAGGAGAUGAUAGGAGGUGACGUAUCAUUGAGUAAAAGUCAAUCAGAAUUGAAAGCGCUGACACCUUCACCAGCGGUCUUGACGAUGGCAAAGAAACGCCGUGUGGUGGCUCAGGUAGAAUUAUUCGGAGGACUGCAGUUUCUUGGUUCAUAGAAUGCUUAUGGAUAUAAUUAGAUUUGACGCUGUAGUAUAUACAGUCUCUAAGAAUAUGCACUUCCUAACCACUCGAUUUAUUUCAUUAAUAGUUUGAGAUAUUGGUUUGUGAGGAAACUUGGAUAGUAAGACUUCACAGUUGUGAGCUUUUUCUGAGGUUAAUGCUGUGCUGUAAGCGAGUUUCCAGGUUUUUGUGGUCCUUCAAGCGCUUUGUAUGCUUAGAAUUAGCUUGCUAGCUUAAGUACCUGAUGUCAUUGAUCGUGUUUACUAACUUUCUCGGUUUUUCUUACAAUUUCAGAUCGAGGUUUUGCAAGAGGCCUAUUUACAGCGCAGAAGGAAAGUAGCACAAGUUCAUCGUCAGGAACAAAAAGUGCAUGAGACAAUCGUGCGCAAGGAUGAAGAGGUCAACUCUGCCCGUGCCGACCUGUACAGUUCCGGUUUAGACGAUUUCCAGUCCGUUCUGACUGCAUUUACACGCUACAGGUAUGUCGCUCUUUGCCCUAUGGAUAAUACCUUGUCUCCAUAGGUUCAUGAAAAAUUGCCCUUGGCUGUGGCGUGUUUAGUGGCAUAAUUUAAUUUCUGUUAUACAUGUUGGUUCGUUGGAACUUAGUUUAUGCCAUGAAAUUCUAGCAUUCGGAAGUCAUUGAAACGUAGUGAUGGGGAAGAGUUCGAUUUUUGUGUCACCGUUCCUACGUGCACUGAGGUUAAUAUGGAGUUCACGUUCUUGUGUAGCCGGUUGAGUGUAAUUGCAGAGCUGCGGCACGGAGAUUUGUUUCAUUCCUCAAACAUUGUUUCAAGGUAAGAUCGUCUGGAAUUGGUGGGCACCAUUAUAUAACAGUCAUGUCUGUUAGAUAUUAGCGUACACUUUUUUACUGCAGCAUUACUCGAAAGUGACCUGAGCAGCCUAGGCACUUAGAUUAUACUCAAUUGGAAAAGCAAAUUCGCUUUUGUAUGCCACUUGUCGGAAAUUCCAGUGGAAACUGAGAGUAUCACUAUUGCAUGUGCAGCAUUGAGUUUGGUAGGGAUGAUGAGUUGUUUGCAACAGCUGGAGUUUCAAGGAGGAUUAAAAUUUUUGAAUUUGCAACGGUACGCCUCCAUUUCAAGAUGAUUGUCUUUCAAAGAACAAACAAAAAGUAACCCUUUGCCUUGAGAUAUCAUUACAUUAGUGUAUCGAAUUGCUCAAAAUCCGUGUCCUCACGUUCAAGCAAGGUCUACAUUGAAGCACGCUAAGGAUUCAUCAUCUCAGUAAUGCUUAUGCAUAUUUGAUUCCCGGUCCUAAAUGCAAGUAAAUUUAUGGAUUCAUGUAAGAAAAAAGUAAAUUCUUUGUGAACGCGAUUGCACUUGAUUUCUGGUUUCUGAAUGCCCUCAGGUUGUCAAUGAAUUCGCUGGUGUACACUGUCCAGUAGUGGAAAUGUCAACAAGGUCAAAAUUGAGCUGCCUCAGCUGGAACAAAUAUAUCAAAUCACAUAUCGCCAGCAGUGAUUAUGAGGGGAUUAUUACUGUCUGGGACGUGAAUAGGCGCCAGGUUUGUUUUCAUUAUGCUCAUGCCGAAGUCAUAGAUAUGUCUUGAUGAUGUAAAAUCCGGGCUUUAGGUACCUCACCCGCCCAUCACACUCCCCCUUGAUGUGUGUAGGUGUGUCUGACGUGUCUUUCUGGUUCACACAGGCAAGUUCUCAGUUGACUUGUAAUGAUGCUGCAGAGCAUAACGGAGUAUGAAGAGCAUGAAAAGAGGGCAUGGAGUGUGGAUUUUUCACGAACUGAUCCCACUAUGUUAGUCUCGGGAAGCGAUGAUGGCAAGGUGAUUUGUUGAAAUGUUGUGAUUUUAUCACUCAAGUAACUGAUGGACCUUCGUUUGACAAGGCCCCUUAAACUGGAAGGUAGUUUUUGGGCUUCUGCAUCAAGGAUCGAAGCGAAUGUGUAGUUGAUCCUGAAGCUUUUUGCAUUGUUUCUUGCAGGUGAAGAUAUGGUGUACGAGGCAAGAGUCAAGCGUGAUAAAUAUAGAUAUGAAAGCAAAUAUUUGCUGUGUGAAGUACAACCCAGGAUCAAGCAACUAUGUUGCAGUAAGUACUUCGAUCCUCCAAAAUGAUUUACCAUCAUCUUGAUGUGAUAAUGACCUGUUGAAACUCUGUUCCAAUAUCUGUCUAAACUGUAUACUAUCAACUCAUUUUUGGAUUGUACCUUGCUGCAGGUUGGUUCUGCGGAUCAUCAUAUUCAUUAUUUUGAUGUGCGUAAUUCUCAUUUACCGUUGUAUGUGUUCAAUGGUCACCGAAAAGCUGUUUCGUAUGUCAAAUUCCUAUCUCCAAACGAGUUAGCAUCCGCAUCUACUGAUAGUACUUUGUGUCUUUGGGAUGUCAAAGAGAACUGCCCGGUACGCUUUCACUAGAUACACAUUAUCUUCUGCUUUCAGGUUCAUCAAUUUCUGCGUAAAAUAUAUUUUAAAUGUUUUGAAUUGCACUGCAAUCUGUAUGCAGUACCAGCUAGCAGUUUGAGUUUCCGUUUUUUGGGUCUUGACUGUUUAUGAUGACUUGUGCAUAAAGUUAUUCAACUGACAUCAGGUGUUCUGAACGCAGAUAAGGACACUAAAAGGUCACACCAAUGAAAAGAAUUUUGUUGGACUUACUGUCAACAGUGAGUAUAUCGCCUGUGGCAGUGAAACAAACGAGGUGUUUGUGUAUCACAAGGUAACAUUCUGCUUGAACAGAGUGUUAAUAUUUUGUGACUUGCUGUGGAUGACUAUUGGACUUUGGAUGUCAAAAGGAAAGGACUUAAGGUGAAUUUUUUUGGUCAUUGGGAUAGGAUGUUCUAUGUUUCUAUACUGAUGGAUUCUCUCUUUCAAGGAAUGAAAAUUUGAGGUGUUGCAAACCUGACUGAAAGGAUGCACUAGGCCGUGGAAUAUGUUAUUAUGAAAGCAUAAAUUAAUGUAUUGUUGCUUUCACGUUAGAACUCCCGAAUAUCAUUUGUAUGGAAGUUUUUACUAAAUUCGUUUCAUUUUCUGCAGGCUAUGUCUAAACCAGCAUCUUGGCACAGAUUUGGAUCUGAAGAUGCGGGGGAGAGCGAUGAUGAUACCUCCCACUUCAUAAGUGCCGUGUGCUGGAAAAGCGAGAGUCCUACUAUGCUUGCCGCCAAUUCACAAGGCACAAUCAAAGUCCUGGUCCUUGCUCCCUAAUUCGUUCCUAACUAUAUCUAUAAUGCUGUUCAGGCCACGAGCUGUAAUUACGUAACAUGGUUCCAGGGCGUACCUUAAUUUUUCACGAGGGAUAUCUAUCCCAGUUUUGAGUGGUUCUUGUAAUUCUUCUCCUGAUUUUUACACAUGAAAGUUGCAUAGGUUUACCUGUCCUGGAAGUUUCAAUUGACAGUUUCCUGCAACUCACCUUCGAAAGUUUUUUUUUUUUUUUAGCGACAAAUGCUAGUGGUGUAAAUUCCGAGACUUUUGUGGACACAUUGCCCCUUGUCAUGGUCCACCUAUUACCCCAAUCGGAUGCUGUCAUUUUAAUUAGCAAAUGUUCCUCUCUUCGCAUGACAGACGAUGAACUGGUGGACCUUUGGUUGCAACACUGGUGAGUCAUGUUAUGCAGUUUUUCUUUUGCUAAAUCUACUAGGUCGUAGAUGUGUUGGGUACAGGGUGCGAUUCCAUUACUCUGGAAUAGCGGCCUGAUAUGCAAUCAGCAAGUCACUAUUUGCAUUGGUUAGAUGCAGGAUUGAGAAGAUCAAUUUAGUGUCGUCAGGAGAUCUAAAGCAUUCUUCAAGGAGUUUCUGAAGCUCUCAGACGUCGUGGAAACCAAAACAUUUUUUCAUGAUGUAAUAUUGUAUUUUUUUCUCUUGAGAUUUGAGUGUAUCUGAAGUAGUAUUUUCCCUACAUUUGGAAUUUUAACGGUGACGUUACUAAUGGUCAAGUAUUCAAUAUUUAUUCAACUCGCAUUACUGAAGUUUAUGUAGUAUGCCAUCAAUUACUGUGUGAUUUUAUCACUCAAGUAACGUGAUGCCACAAUACAUAGGUUUCCAACUCAUCAAGGAUAUGAUAUUUGAGUUGCAGAAGUUGAUGUUGUGUUAGUUCUUUAUGAUGUUUGUAUAAAAAACUAUGAAAUGAUUGAGUUAUGCCUCUCAGAUGAAGAUAACCUGAUCAUUGUCUUUAUCAGAUGUUGAAAUAACAAAGAAGUAGAUAAAUAAAUCAAUUAACCACAUCGUUAGUGCAAAACUACCAUUUACUCGAUGUAGAAAUCGCCAGAAGUGGCAGGUUGAAAUGCGGUGGGAUGUUAUCUAAAGAAAAUACUUAGGAACAGAGAACUAACACAGUUUCUGAUUGUGAACAUUGCUUGUGAACAGUCAGGAAGCAAAUCUCUACAAGGUGCUUGUAUCGUACAACUGCACAGGAUCAAACACAAUUUCAUCAUGUUUGCUGGGAAUGGUUCUUAUACCCAAAAUAAACAACAGAAGGGAAGCACCGUGUAGCACUUGCGAAGAUAAGACUGACAAGUUACCGUCUCCGCUUACACAUUAUUCUCCCUCUUAAGCAAAUACCCACUGAGGUAAUCAAACAUAGUAGAAGAUUACAUAAGUGGCCAGAAUCAAACAGGGCAGGUGCUAAGCAGGAAGUGGCCAGGUUGAAGGUGAACCAUUCGGCGAACACAUGUAAAGUAGAUUUUUCUCAAUCCAACAGAGCUACUGCUGGAGAAUCCAUCUGACACGAGGCUACUCACCGACACAAAUCUCUCUCGCACGAAUGAGAAUACUGCAUGUUCACGCUGACGGGCAUCGCGGGAGGGGCAGGGUUGAUUUGAGACGACAACAGGAGUGGGGCCAUCUGCAUCCUAUUCCAAGAUUCUGUCCAACACUGCUGACGCGCCGAAGCUGCUGCUCAAGGAGCUCGCGAUGCAUGACUUGAGAGAGUCGAAUCACAACCGCACGCUUUGGAGUGCAAGCCUGAGAGCACCCUCUUAUAAGAAACGAAACUUACUUGCAAACACUCCUACAGUAAAACAUUUCUGGAUUGAUCAAAUUUGAAUUAGUACCUGCCUAAACUUUAUUCUUUUCCCAGUAUUGUAGGAGAAGAAUUCAUGAUUAAGCAUUCAACAAGACGAUAAGGAAGUAUCUCAAAACCAAAGUAAUGGGACGCCCGUGCGCCUUCGUACAAUCUCAUGCCCAAAGUUGGAGACAACCGCCUCCAUGUCAGGAUCCAGCAAACUGCUGGUGCCAAAGUAACGCACACUGACUUUCCCUGGAUUAACUUGAAGCGGCUACGCAACAAAUCACGUCACUCAGUCCAUGAUUCCUUCCGUCAUGACAGGAUUUGCUGACAAAGUGCUGAUUCGAUUCUGGCAGAGAGCAACAAAGGUCGUGGCGGAGAUUUCGAAGUGUACAGAGUGAGUUGGUAUACACUCUCAAACGUUGAUGGGAUCAGCCCACCAGACAACCUCAACGACUAGGCACUUCUACUUAGAUGUAAAUAUUAAUUUACUACACUGGAAGUCUUCUGAAAGUCUGGCACAACUGCACAAAUCCUGGAAUCCGUUUGUGGAAACGAUAAUGGAGUUCUCACUGAACACCUUGUUUCAAUCCCUUCACUUUCACACAUUCAAACCACAGGGCAGGCCUUUGUUGGGUGAGUGAAGUUUCAAGAGGCUGCCAUCAGCACAGUAGGAAUUUAUUAUAAACCCCAGAUUAAAAAAGAUCACGACAGAAUGAAGCUUGCAGUGUGAUACUUGCCCCGCAAUGAACUCCAAAAUCGUCAAUUUAUUUGUAGAAUAUCGUGUAUGAACAAGUCAGUCGUCAAGAAAUGUUCAACAUUGUCUAUGAUCUUUAUGUAGCAUAGCCACGGUCGUUUGAAGAUUAGCCUGUUUGCAUUUCUCGUGCUAGGUUAACGGAGUAUACCCAUGUUUCCUGCCCAACUUGCUGACUCGAGCAUCAUCGGGACCCCAAGUUUCAAAAUUGCUCGGUCAUGCUAUCACUAGUCACGGCAGCGGGACAAGAGGUCCGGUGCUCACCUUCUCAACUUUAAAUCUACUAUUUUAACCAACACUUCUACCAAACACUAACUGGUCAUCAGGCUAAAUUCACUGAAAGAGAUAAUGAUACGCAAAACAUCAAACCAAGGAUUGCAGAAGAUUGAACCCUCCCUCCGGUAGAAACUCCAAAAGGAUGCUCGAAACCCCCAGGUGAUGGACCGGGAGCCAAGUACUCAGAAUCCGGUGCAGUGGGAACCGGUUGGCCAGUAGAGUUCAAGGUCGUCGUCUUGAAGGUCCAUGACCAGAUCUUGUGUCGCACCGUGCCGGCGCCAGUCGCAGCCGAGAAACCAAUGUACAUGUACUCGUUGAAAACAGUGGACAGAUCGAUAGGAACAGACAGGAGAGAGACCGUGGGCUUGACGUAAUCACCAUUCGUGUAGGGGCUGAUCGAGACAUCCAGCACAUGUGCCACGCUGUUGUAUGACACAUACGCUUGGAUGUGGGUGCCGGAUGCCAGGGUGACGGGAAUAGUACCUGACAUUGCAGGCUUCGCUUGUUGCGACACUAAGCUGUUGAUAUCCACACCAAUGUGGUUGUCGUCGAUGUCUUGGAAUUGAGUGUCCUGCUUUGUAUCGAACUCUAGAGCAAAAUAUUUUGUCGUCGAGACGGAGGUAGAUGGAUUAGCUGUGACGAGGCCAAGAUAACCACCCGGAUCUCCAACUGUCUUGUUCUCCGAGGAGAUGCUGAAAGUGAGCCCAGCACCAUAGGCCUGCGGUGUGGAGGGUUCAUUUUCGAUAGAGAAGAUGAAGUUGGUUUCGAAUGAAAUGCUGGUUUGCGGGGAUGCACUGAUGACGCGAACUGGGUAGUCAAACGUCGCUCUCCCAGCGGCUUUGUUGGUGAGCUCCAGUGCUAGGUCGUCUAUGAAAAUGUGGGCGUCUCCUAGGACUGAGAUGCUGUUACCACUGUUAGAGAAUUGGUAAUACUGAAAACUUGUGUCAGCUUCAACACCUCUGCCUGCUCGAAUGAGCCCGUGACAUAGAAUGAGUAGCAACAUUCCCAAUUUCGCCAUGGCUAUCUGCAUUGUACGCACCUACAUUUUCAGGCUGAAAACAUUCGAAGUACUGUGCAGCGGGGACGAGAAUAAAAAAAAUUAAAUAAAAACAAAUGUUUUAAUCUUAGAACUAGCAACAUAAACUUUAAUACAGGUACGAAAUUCUCAACAAGCAGAUUGAUAGUGAUCUGCUUUCGAUAACUUGGACUGCAGAGGAAACACAGCUCUGAAGAGACAACGAAGCUCAACAAGUCUUAUCCACGCAAGCUUGUCUACCUGUGCCAAACCGUCUAACCGAAACAGAACAGCACAACGCAACCAGCUCCAGCCCACCCCACCUCUUCAACAACAGAGCUCACACACCAUACAACAUAACCUAAGGGCUUGCACUGGGGCAGUAAAUGCCAGGACUGCGAAGAGUAAGCCACAAAAUGAAAUGCAAACCGCAGGGUCAAGGUCGAGCUCCGGACGCAGCUACAUGACCAUGCAGAAUGCUACGCUCUUUCCAUGCAGGCUUGGGCAACAUGGUAGAAGGAAAGACAGACGACUUCGGAGGCAGGGGCACAGUGGACAGCUCAGCUUAGCUCAGCACAGCACUGUAGAGUGAGACGCCGUCAGUGAGCAUCAAAUCACGCAUCCCACUUGAUGAUCGCCGUCAUUGGACUGCACGAUAAUUCUCACACGGUCGACGCCGCUCUCGGGCAUUUCUGGAGGUGUGACGGCGCGCCUCCCUAGUCACACGUCGUCGCGGGGUGGCAGGCCGCAACCUGACGCCAUCUGACUGUAUCUGACCGUAUCUAACGUUAUUUGACGCAAUUAGACGCCAAGAGACGUGACUGGACGUGACGUGACGCGACAUGACGCGACGCAGGGGGUAGUGGCCUUCCAGCGUCACUAGAAUCCAUAGGCUAACGCAGCGGCACACACACUUGUAUUUCGUGUAUUCUUCAUGGGAACUUGAACAGGUUCAACAGUAAAUGCAACACUGAAGAGAUUAAAAGACCUUUAAAAUAUGCCGGUAUUAUGCUGAACUCAUGACGAUAGUUUUUGGUGAUACAUUGUUGAGUUUUUUUAAGAAAAGAUUGGAAGUGAAAUUGGCUGUUUAAAGGAUUGAGAUGCAUGACUGUGUAAUGAAUUAAUUGUGGGAGUGAUUAUUUAGAAGGUUUACACUGGAACUGUUUGAUAUAAAAGUGGUUGUAAUCACGUUUGAUUGUUUGUUUGAUGUGUUAGUUCUAUCACUAAUCCAAUCAAAUUCAGUGUCAUUAUCAAAUAAAAAAUAGAAUUAAUGAUAAUAGCUUUAUUUAUGUUAGAUGUUAAAAUUGAUUUAGAUAAAUAUACUUUUAAAGCUGUAUUAUUAAUUAUUAUUGAAUCAAAAAUAAUAUCAUUCAAAAAAGCAUUGAAAUAAACAACAUAUAAUAAUGAAAAUAAGAAUAAUACAUAAAAGUUAACCUCAUCUCUAUCUUAUAAACCUCAUUAGAAUUGCUUAAUCAAAUAAAUUUAUGGUUGAAGUUAGCUUUGAAGUGGCAUACAAAUAUGGUUGCAAUUUCAUGCCAUUCACACAUUUAUUAGUACCACACUUAGUAGUUAAUUGAAGAUUCUAGAUUUUAUGCAUGAAGAAUUAAAUUAUACACAAAGAGUUUAAUUGUAGAGUUGGAGAUUAUGUUGAUACAUUGAUAUGUUUUGUGAUGAUUACAGCAAAAAAAUUCAUAAGGAAAACUUCUAUUAAGAAAUAAUACUAGUACCAUGCAUCCUUGUUACAAUAAAUAGAAUAAGAAGAAGAGGCAAAAUCCCUUUUGUUACAACUUCAAGAAAGAAAAAUUUUCUAUAGUUUAUCAAAAAGCAAAUAUGUAAUAAUUUGUUACAUAAUUUGUCAAAAAUAUGCAAACAUAUAGGCACGAGAGUGUCAUUGUACAAAAAAUUCUUUUUUGACUACAACAUCAUUUUGGCAAGAAUGCUUAAUACAAUUUAGUGGUGAAUGUGAAUAGCAAGUUGGCGUAUUAGAGUAUUGAUUAUUCAAAUUUAUUCUUUUAAUAAAUUGCAUUGAAUUCUAAGUAUUUAAAACAAGCUGAUCAAGAAAAAUAAGAUCAAAUAAGUAUAUGAUUGAUGCUUAAGAAUAUCACCUUGCAAAUCUAUAGAUAUUAUUUUUUUCUUAUUCCAAAGUCUAUAGUCAUUGUACACCUACUAGCUUCAAUCUAGAUACUGGCACAAACUGAAGAAUUUUAAGUAUUGAAAAAUUUCUAAUCAUAAGAGUGAAACUUUGAAGAGAAGCAUUUCAAAUUUAAAAAGCCAUAAUAUGGACAUCAAUUGUGUUCUUGUAAACAAAAAUGAAGCAUUUCUAUGGCCUUCUUUUAGGAGGCAAGCAAGAUUAAACUGCUAAUCUAUUAGAUUAUAGUUGAUUGCUCUAUCACUAAGUUAUACCAAGAAAUUCCUAUUAAAAUUAAUUUGUAAAAAUUAUAGAUUUAUAUGCAUAGGCACUAGUUUAUAUGGCCAUCAAUUGAAUUUGCAACCAUUGAUUCUAAUCCUUAAUCUAAAAUGUCUCCUACUUAGAUUAAAAGAACAUAAUCCAACUUCCAUCCAUAUACAAUAAUUUUUACCUUGGAGGUUUCUAGCCAUUGUUUUUUAGUGUAUUAGUGUUUUUAAAUCUUCUUAGAUAAAUGUUAUAGGAUUUGUAAGUUCACUUACAUAAUUUUCUUUGAAUACAUUCUUUCACUAUUCUCUUUGUAAUAUUUUACUUUUGCUUCUACAAGUAGAUUGUUAAUCUUAUUUUGUUGUACCUUGUCAAAGAAGUUAGUUGUGUUGGAGCUGGAUUACUUGAUUAAGUCCGAUGUAGUAAUUCUUGCAUUGACUUAGGUAAGUAAUCAUUGCUGUUGUUUGAAUUGUUGUAUAUAGACAUUCUUUUUUGUAUUAGAUCAAACAAUAUGUAAAAUUAUGAAGGACUAAUGGCUAUAAUCAUCUUUGAAUUCUUUUAUGGCAUCUUUUUUUCUAUUUGCAAUAGUAGGAUGCAUGUUAUUUUUACUUUGAGGUAUUUCUAAUGUUGAUCUUAUUUUAAAGUUUGUUAAUACUUGAAUGACUUGAAUUAGAUCUUAUAUUAUAUAUUUUUAGUCAAAAUCAACUCAAUUAUUGAUGUCUUGUCUUUCAAUUUUUUUCCAAGAUUUUGUAAAUAAUAUAUUUAUAGUAUUAUUAAGUAUCUCUAUAUGGUUGUUACUUCUUUCUUUAAUUAACUGUGGUUGAUGAAAAUUUUAGGAGUCUCUCAAAGAUGUUGGACUUUUUUUUAUUUAUAAAGUUAAUAUAGUUGUAUUAUGCAUGACAAGAUGUUGAUAGAGAAAGACCUUAGAUAGAAUGGACUUUCAGAUAGAUUGGUGUUAUGGUGAGGCAAAGAUAUAUGUAUGUUGUCAAUCAUAUCUUAUAUCCAUAUUUUGUGGUAUAUUCAAAGAAUUUCACUUGUUUAAAAGUAUACAUCUUUUUUUACUCUUAGUCUUUGGAAUCCUAAGCUAAGUUGAUAAUUAGAGAGUUUCUAUAUAGCCAAAUUUUGUAUUCUUUAGCUAGUAAAUUUGUAGGAUUAUAUCCUACUAUUUUGUCCUUGUGACUAAAAAAUUUUAUCAUAAGAAUUAGCUCUAGUAUAUAGAUCAAUAUAAAAGUUUUUAUACUUUAUUUGAUUAAUUUCUCUAUUGUUGCCAUGUAAUAUUUGAUUGCUUUUCAUAUGCCAUUCUCUUUUAAUUGUAAGUGAUAAAUUACAGAAAUCGAUUAUUUCGUUUAUGUUAUAACUCAAUUCUUAGGUUGCAAGAGGAGAUUUUUGAUGAGGUCACAAUUGGAGAAAAAAUUACAAAGUAGAGGGUAUUAUGUACUCAUUGUUUUGGAUUUGAUAUAUGUAGUAAGGUCUUCUUAGAUUUUUUAGCCUCUAAUUUUUUCUUGCUAGAUAUCUUUGAUUGAAAAUGUAUUGUUGAUGUUUGAAGUUGUAAAAAUUGAGUUGAAUUAUAAUUCCAUUUAUUCUUUAUUAAAUUUUAAAAAGAGAUGAUUGCCAAAUAUUAGUUGCGUCAAGAUUUUUGUUAGUAUUAUUAGUUGUAUUUGUAUGAAAUCUAUUUUGGAUUUGUUCCAUGUCUUGAUGAUUAUUUUUCACAAUGAUGUAGCAUCCAAGGAGGCCUUGUGGAUAUAUAUGAUCUUAUAGAUAUUUUGUGGCUAUCUCUUCAAGCUAAUUAUUCUUGAUCUUUUCUAAUUUAUACUGGAUAAAGAAUUUUCAAAGUCAAAUCCUAGCUUUAUUUCUCAAAUAAGUAACUUAGUAAUUGGUACUUUUUUUAUAUUUGAAGAUCUAAUACUUUGAAUCUCUCAAUUAUUGUGGAUUGUAUUACUAUUUUUCAAGGCACUUUGAUUCUAAUCUUGUUACUUAUGGUUGCUCCUCAUAUAUAAUUAUAAAGUACUGCUUCAAUUUAUAUAAAGAUAAAAAUUGAUAUAUGUACAUAUGAAUAGAGGUACUAGAUGGUAGCAAUAAUUACCUAAUUUGCUAUUAGUAUAUACCUUACAAAUAAAAAUAUUUUUGGUUAUUAGUUGAUGACACUUUGGUUGACUACAGUCAUCAUUUUGGUCUAAAUUUUCUCUUGAUUUAGUUGAAAUCUAAUCAAGUAUUUUAGAUAACUUAUGGAUUGUUCUUUUGCGAGUCAUUUCAAUCUAGCAUCAGCUUGUUGUUGCCAUGUCCUAUUGAUACUUAUUGCCUAUAUAUCCACAGAUUUGAUCUAGUUGAGUUUUGCUCCUAAACCAAAGCAAAACUUUGUAAGUGUUUGUAUUGUAAUAUUUAAGUUGUCUUCUAUUCCUAUGAAAUAUAGUACAAUGUCAUAAUAUAACACAACUAAUAGGUAAAAGAGUAUAGAAAUUAUUAUAUUAUAGAAGAUCUUAUUUCAAAAUAUUAUAAUAAAUUAUCUUAGAAAUAUAGAUAAUUUUCAAAAGGGUAGUAAAACUAAAAAGUAUUAAUAUUAUCUUUUAUAAAAUGGCCUUCUAUUUACUUUAUAGGGCCAUAGAUAAGGUAAAAUAAAGUAAAUUAAAAAAUUAAAUAAUAUAGGCAUAUAUAAGAAGAAGUUAAGAGUAAGUUUUAGCAAAAUUUACCUCAAGAAGCAAAGAAUUGAUAUCCAAAGAUGACUAGUUGUCAACUUGGGUUGAAAUCAAAUUCCAAGGUACAAAAUCAAACUUUGGGAUUUUUUUAAAGAUUAAAGAAUAAGAUUUGAUAGAAAACUUCAUAGAAUUUUUAUAAGCAUUGAUUUUGUAUGAUUUGGAUCUAUAAUGACUUUGUAAGAGUUUUACAAAGUCAUGAUCAUUUUGGAUGACUUGAGUUUUUGUGAAGUAAAAUAGAGUUGACGUUUUGGAGAAUUUAUAGCAUUUUAUAAUAGAUCUAUAAGUAAAAUUUUGUAGAUUAAUGGUUAUAGUUGUGUUUAAUAUGCAUUAUGAAUUUUAGCUUGAUCUAAUAGUUGAAUUGAGAAUUAUUGAAAUUUAAGUGGGUCGGGGUCUUGAAAAGUAGGAUUUUAGGUCUAGUGAAGAUUUCUAAGAAUUAUUCCAAUCUAUUAGUUAGAUUGGAGUAAAAGUUAUGUAUAUAGGUAGUUAACUUGUUUUCUUAAAUAUAUGAGAAUUUUGAAAUCAAUUGGAUAAGGCACAAAGGAGAUGCUAGUACUAGAAGAUCAACAUUAAGGUUGGAAAAGAAGGCCAACCAACAUCCGAGCAGAUUUUAGGGUUUUUUUAUAUUUUAUUUGGUAAGUGUGAUUGUGAGUCAUCAAAUUGAUUUACUAAUUAUUUUAAGAAAAAGAAUGUAUAUAAAGUACCAAAAUUAAAAUUUUUAGGUGAAGAUGUGCUUACAAGAUGUUAAAUGAAGGAAAACAAUAUUAAUAGAAAAGAAAUGGAAUCUUAGUAAGUUUAGAGGCAAUUGUCUUAGUUGAUUUAAUAUUUUUUAUUUAUUAUUGAGUAUUAAAGAAUAUUUAAUAAGGUCAAUAUUUAUAUUGGCCUUCUAUCUAUACAUAUUAUUUAUAAGAAAAAACUAUAAAUGUUAGUUAGUAGUUAGAAGAAGCAUGAGAAAGAACCUCAUGUCUUUUUAGUUAAUUAUAUAGAAAGUAGGAUUUAUCAUAGAUUUAAAUUUAUUUUAUUACUAUAAAAAUCAUUAAAAUAAGAAAUCAUAUUUUUAAAUUGAUAUUAAUAUUAUAAAACCAUUGUAGAAAUUUUAGAAUUUAUUUAGAAUUUAUUUAGAUAUUUUUUUAGGAAUUUUAGAGCAAUUUCGAAGCCUUUGGUAAAAAUGAAUUUUACCACCUUGGAAGCCAUUAUGAAGAAAUGAAGCAAGAUUCGAAGGCCAUACAACAUUCUUAGAUUCAUAGGAUGUUUUUAAAUACUAUGGUGAAGUCAAAAAUGCAAAAAAAUAAAUUUUACUAGUAGAAAAUAGGAGGACCAGUUGUUAGUUUAGUCCUUAUAGAAAGGGAGGUGUACAAAUCCCAUUUGGAUUGUAGCACCUUAGGUAUAGGUAGGAAGAUAAGACAAAGGCCUCAAGUCCUCCUUAGACAACCAAUAUAUACUACUUCUGAGCCUUUGUGAGGCUUGAGCUCCUGAUCUCUUAAGCAAGUUAUCCUCGAGGUAAAAUUAUUUAUUUAAAUUUUUAUUCAUUUACUUGUUAUUUUUAAACCUUCAUAGUUUAGUCAUAGUAAUUGAGAUUUAUAUGUUUCUUAUACCAUGAAAAAAAUUAAAAAAUUAGAUUUCUAAAAAUAUAUUUUUAAUUUUUAAUUUUUACUUUUUAUUGGAUAAAAACUUAAUGAACAAAUUGUGACUAAUUUUGUAGUCUACAAUUGCUUGAUUGCACUUGUUCUUUUUGUUUUGUGUUUUUCUUCUUUUGUUCUUAUUCUUGCUAAUUUCAUUUUAUACCACCCAUUACAAAUAAUUCUUAAUAGAGGCUAUGUUGUAAUUGGAUUAAAGAGUAAAUUUUACAUUCAUAGUAAUUGUCUUCAAAUUUGUUGUGUUUAUUUGUAAUUAAAGAUUGAGAGGUGUGUAAAAUUUUAAAAAAGAUCAAUGAUUUAAUUAAAAGAUAUUGAGGUUCUAAACUACCUUAAGAUUUUAUUUAGAUAUAAGAUUUGAUUAGGAUUUGAUUUAGGAUUUAGGAUUUGUCUAAGGUUUGGUUUAGGAUUUAAAAUUUAACUAGGGUUUGAUUUGGGAUUUAGGAUUUGAGUAGGAUUUGAUUAGAAUUUGGAGUUUGUCUAGGAUUUGGUAAGGAUUUGGUUUAGAGUUUAGGAUUUGUCUAAAAUUUGUUUUAAAGUUUAAGAUUUGAUUGAAAUUGGGUUUAGAAUUUAGGAUUCGUCUAAGGUUUGGUUUAGAAUUUUGGAUUUGUCUAGGGUUUGAUUUGGGAUUAAAAGUUUUUCUAGAGUUUAAUUGAAGUCCAUUCAAGUUUCAAGUAGGAUCAAAUAAAAACUUAAUUGAGAUUUAUUUAAGAAAUAUUGUGAUUAUUUUAAUAUUUUUUAGGACUUCUUAAGGAUUCUUGUAAGAUUUAUUAUUGAUUAUCUUUCAAUUCUUUUAAGAUUUUUUAUUGUUUCUUUUGUAAUUUCUUUAAGCUUUCUUUUGAAUUUGAUUAAAGCUUGUUUAAUAUUGUUAAGGUUUAAUUAAAAUUUAUUUAAUGUUCUAUUAGAAUUAAGUUUUUGUUAUUGCAAUUUCUAUUCUAUCUACCACAGCCAGGUGCCUAGUAUACUUUCAAGCAAUACUUCUUGUAAUAUGUCAUAUUUGGUGAAUUUGAUGUAAAAAUCUUGAGAUGGAAGAUAUUUAGAAUUUUUUCUUAAAUUAUUUGAAUUAUGGUGAAGGAAGGCAAGAGAGUUGAAGGAAGGGCUAUGGGUGGUGCUUCAAUUGGAGCUACAAGUGGAGGAACUAGUGGAGGACAAGGUAUGUAUUUUGAUCCCAAUUCCACAAGCAUGUUUGAGGCUUUUGCCUUAUUAAUGCAAGAACAACAAAUUAAAGAGCGCAAAGAGGAUAUGACAAAAAAAAAUAUUAUAAGCGGUGUCAUGAUGUAACAAAGAUAAUAAGUGAAAGGGUGAAAAAAAUAUCAUGUUUUGAGGAUCUCACUUCAAAAAUAUUAAAGCAAAGUAUCUUAGAAAAAUAGAUAUUAGUCAAAGGGUAGAAAAAUUAAAGGUGCUAAUGCUGCCUAUUUACAAAUUAUGCUUCUAUUUACUUUAUAAGGCCAUAAAUAAGGCAAAACAAGGUAGAUUAGAAAAAUAAAGAAUAUAGGCAUAUGUAGGGAGGAGUUAGGAGUACAAAUUAGUAAAAAUUACCUCAAGAAGACGAAAGUUGAUACCCGAAGAGGACCAGUUAUGAACUUGGGUCGAAAUCAGACCCCGAGACACAAAACUGCGCUCUGACGGCGACUCAAGGACUAUUUGGCAGAUCGGAGAGUGGAAUUUUAUAGAAGAUUGAAUAAGGUUUCUAUGGGUGCUAAUUUUGGGUGAUUUAAAUCUGUAUUGACUUUGUAAUAGCUUUGCAAAGCCAAGGUUUGUUUCAGAUGACUUGGGUUUUAUGAAAUAAAAUAGGAUUUAUGUUUUGGGUGAUUUCAAGAGUUUUAUAAUAGAUCUACAAGUAAAAUUUUGUGGGUUUAUGGUUUUAGUUGUGUUUAAUAUGUGUUGUGAAUUUGAGCUCAAUCUAACGGUUAAAUUGAGGAAUAUUGAGGUUUAAGUGGAUCAAGGUCUCAAAAAAUAGAAUUUUAGGUCUAGUAGGGGUUUUUAAGAUUUCGUGCAAUCUACUAGUUGGAUUGGAGUGAAACUUAUGUGAGAGGAUAUUAGACUUUUUUUUCUAUGUGUUUUAGAAUUUUGAGAUCAAUCGAACGGUAUAAAAGAGAGAUAUUGGCUCUAGAAGAUUGGCAUCAAGAUUGGAAAAGGAGGCCGGCCAAUACCCGAACACAUUUUUGAGAUUAUCGUCAAUUUGGUAACUCCGAUCUUUUUACCAAACUUAGUUUUUAAGAAGUGUACAAAAUUUGAGUUAAGAUCAAUGGUUUAUUCAUUAGUUAUUGAGGUUUAAAUCUGUUAUAGGAAUUACUAGGGUUUGAUUAGGAUUUGGUUUAGGAUUUGGUUUAGGAUUUGGUUUAAGGUUUGAUUAAAGUUUGGAUUAGGGUUUGAUUUAAGGUUUAGGGUUUAGGGUUUGGAUUAGGAUUUGGUUUAGGAUUAGGAUUUGGUUAGGAUUUAGUUUAGGAUUUAGAAUUUGGAUUAGGGUUUGAUUUAGGGUUUAAGGUUUGAAUUAGGAUUUGAUUAGGGAUUAAUAUUUGAUUAGGGUUUGAUUUAGGAUUUAGGGUUUAGGAUUUGUAUUAGGGUUUGGUUUAGGGUUUAGGAUUUGGAUAGGGUUUGGUUUCGGAUUUAGGAUUUAGAUUAGGGUUUGGUUUAGGGUUUAAGAUUUGGAUUAGGAUUUAGUUAGGGAUUAAGAUUUGAUUAGGAUUUGAUUUAGGAUUUAGGAUUUAUCUAGGGUUUGAUUAAGGUUGGAUUAGGAUCAGGAUUUGGUUAGAAUUUAAGGUUCUAUUAGAUUUUUGUUAGGGUUUGACUAAGUUUUCUUUAAUAUUCUUUUAUAUUUCUUUCAGAUUUCCUUGUGUUUCUUUUAUAACUUCAAUAAAAUUUAAUUGAGCUUGCUUAAUGUUUGAUUAUGAUUGUUAAUGUUUAAUUGUAAAUUCUCUAUAAUCCUAUUGGAUUGUUAGGACCUUUUGUUGCAAUUUUCUUUUACCUUCCACAGCCAGGUGCUCAGUGCAUUCUCAAGCAAGACUUCACGUAAUACGACAGCGAUUGUAGAUAAGAUUGAUUAAUUUGAAGAAAAGGAUAUUAUUAAGUAUUUAAGAUACUAUAUAAAAGAAAUGGAGUUGAAGCAUGUUCCAAAAAGAGAGAUGGUUCAAUUAUUUGAAUUAACUAUUGCACUAGAAAUAAGAAAUCAUAUAAGGUCUAUUAUAAGAUAUUCUAUAUGUUCAUAGAAAAAAUUAUCUCAAGCAUUGAAGUAUUAGUUUUUCCUGAAAGAUUGUGAUGGAGUUACAAAGAAAUUAUUUUUUGAAUCGAUUGAAAAGCCAAAAAAAGAUCUUUUAGUAAUAAAAUUAUUAAAAAAAUUUGAAAAGAAAAUUCUUCUCUAUCAAAGAAAGAAAGGUAAUUAUUAGAGCUGAGUAAAGUGGAGUUCUUUUGUCUAGUGGCUAAUGGAGAGUAGUAAGAAAAGUUAAAAAUCUUACUUGAAGUUAAAGAAGAAGAUGAAGGAUUGACAACAAAUUAGAAAGAAGUGGAAGAGGCAGUAGGGUUGUUGGCAAAAAAAAAAAAAAAGAGAAAAGAUAGGAUGGAUAUUCAAAGACUAUUACAAGCAUCUAAGGUAAAAAUAUCUACUACCUAUCCAACAUCUUUGAUUCAACCUUUAAUGGCUACAUCAAAGAAAGAAGAAAUGAACAUCAAUGAAAUCAUAUGAGAGAUGAGAGAUUUGCAAAUAAAAUUUGUAAAACUUAAAGAGAAGGGCCAAUCAUCAAGAGUAUUAACAAGACAAAGAUUAGAACGAAUGGAAGUUGUAGUACAUAGUUGCAUGUGGUAUAAGAAUACAGAUCAUUCAAGAAGAGAAUAUGAGGAUUUUAUAGAGGUACUACAUAAAAGAAUUUUUUAAAUUUAAAGAUAGAAUGAUUCACGUAAAAGAAAGUAAAAAAAAAAUAGAAACAAAUUUUGAUAAAGGAAGAAUGGAAGUGUUUGUAGAAGAUGCUUAUAAAGUGCAUACAAUCUCAAGUAAUGAAUCAUCAAUAUAUUGGAUGGAAGCAAAUCUUAGUAAAUAUUUAAGUAUAAAUCUUGAGUUUCCAGAGGAAUCUAGUACUUUGUAGACAAGUGCAAUGCGUUUUGUUGAAAGGUGAAAAUUUAUUAGAAAUAAUUUAAAAUGUGUUGGUAAUAACAUUUGACAAAUUAUUAGAUGGGAUGAUCCAAUAGAUGGAUUAUCCAAGCAUGCUCAUAUUGCAAAGAGUUAAUAUUAAGCAUUAAUAGAAGUAAAAUGAAAGAGAGAUAAAAAUAAUGAAGGGCCUUCAAAAAGAACUACAAGGAGAGAAAAAAUAUGACAAUAAAAGAAUCCUAUAUAUGAAGAGAUAAUAGAGAAUAUUUCUACAAAGAAAGAAAAAUUAAAAAAAAUAAAUAAAGGCUCUUGCUUAUAAAUUACAAUCAGAUAUUGAAGUUGCUAUAGAUUUUAAGAAGAUGUUGGAAGAAUGGAUUUUAAGUAGAAAAGUUGAAUUCACAAUUGGUGAACUUUUAGAAAUUCCAAAGUGUGAGUUUUAUGAAGUUAUUAUUGAUACAAGAAAGAAAGAAACAAUAAUAUAUAGGAGACACUAUGACAUCAAUGUACAAGGAACAAGAGCAAUAGAAAGCAAUGAAGAUGAAAAAGAUGAAAUGUAAAAUUUUGGAGAUAUCUUGCAAGUAAGAUUUACAAAAAAAGAAAAUGUCAUUCAAGCUUCUUGUCAUUAUUUUAAAAAUCAUUGGGCAAGGGCUACUAUAGAAAUUUUGAUAAAAUUGAGAGAUUUAGAAGAAUUAAUUAUGAUAUUGAUUGAUCAUGGUUUUAAAAUCAAUUUUAUGUUAAAAAAAUUAUAUAAAAAAGGAAAAUAGCCUAUUGAUAUUGAACAUGGAUGGAUGAUAAGAGCAACAAAUAAUUUAAAAGAAGAUUUGUAUGGAGCUUGUCCAAAUAUUAAGGUGAGUAUAAGAGAUGUUAUUUAUUAAUAAAAUUUCUUUGUGCAAGACAUGUCUACAUAUCCUAUUAUAUUGAAACAACCAUAUAUUAUUGCCACACAAAUGGAAAAAAAAUAAUGGAUGAUAGUUCAAUCUAUAUAAGAAUAAAAAACCAAGAUGCGAUAAAAUCAAUUCAAUUUUUAACUAUUUGUAGUGAUCAUGAGUGUUUGUAGUGAUCAUGAGAGAAAAGCCAUUAUCAAAUGAGAAAUUUGAAGACCUUGAGGGUUUUUACCACACACUAUUAUGAGGUGAAAUUGUAAUGAGUUAGAGAGAGAAAUGCUCCUACUUAGUUUCGAAGAAGAGAUUAUCUACUAGACUUAUUAGGAUGAUAGAAGAUUUUAUAUUAUCUUUUAAGACUAUUGAUAAGAUAAAAAAGAUGGAAAAAUGUUAUAUUAAAAAUAUUGACCAAAACUUGAAAGAAAAUGAAAAAUUGGUUAAAAAUAAUUUUUUUUAAAGAGCAUUUGAAGAAGUAGGUUUUAUAAAUACCAUUAGAGAAUUAAAUUAUUUAUUACAAUAUAGAUUAUAAAGAAAAAAUAGAGUUAUUCAUGUAUGUUCUAAAGAAUUUUAUGAUAAAAUUUAAGGAUUUAUAGAAACUUUAAGUCAACAAGAGGUAUGUAUUGAAACUAAGUAUAAAUUAAUCACAAAAAAGAUCAAACUAGUGGCUUUGCUAUUACCAUCAGAUUGUGAAGUAAUGAUAAGUAGAGCAUUCAUAAAACCAAAUUUAAGGGAUCCAAAGAAGAUAGGAUAUAAAUUUAUGGAUGCUACAUUAGAUGGAUUAAAUGUUGAAUGUAAUGGAUUUUUGACAAAAUAUGAAGAAAAAUAUUUUAAGGAUAUGCUUUCACGUCAUGGAAAGGCUUUUGUAUUUGAGUAUGUUGAUUCAAGUAUUUUAGUAUCCAUGGUUAUUUUUACUAUUCUUCAUGAAUCAUAGAAUUUGUGAUGAAUUCCAGUAUCAAGAGCAUAUUUAUCAAAGUUAGUAGAUUUAUUCAAUAAAAAGAUAAAAAUAAGAAUUUUAGAACCAUCUAUGGCAUCUUAUUCUAAUCAAUGGUUUACAAUACCAAAGAAAAAUGGAACAAUAAGAUUUAUAUAAGACAUACAAUUGUGAAUAAAGUGACUAUUAGAAAUAUGGAUUUAAGUCCAAUUGUAGAUGAAUUUGUAGAAGAAUUUUCUAAAAAAAAAAUCUAUUCAAUAGAUGAUCUUUAUUUAGGAUAUAAUCAAUUUUAAUUGAUAAUAUAAAGUAGAGAUUUGACAACUAUGAAGAUAUUAAGGAUUGGUCAGAAUGUGUAAAUUAUUAUAAGUAGCUACAAAUUUUAUAGCACAUAUGAUGAAUGGAAUGUAUAAGAUAUUAAGAGAUUUUAUUUCAAGAAUAAUAAUACCUUUCUUAGAUGAUGUACUAAUCAAAGGAUAUGAAGAAGAAAGAAAAGAUGAGACUUUGGAUUCAAAAGGAUGUAAGAAGUUUGGGGUAGAUCAUAUUGAUGAUUGUGAGAAGUUUUUAAAAAAGUUAGAAGAAGUUCAUUUAACCUUAUCGGUGGCAAAAUCAAUGUUUGGAGUAAAAACAAUUUUGGUGGUAGGAUACAUGUAUGGGUCAUAUGGACCUAAGCCAAAUAUGAAAAAGAUUGAUAUUAUUAAAAAGAUGAAAAAAUGUAAAAAUACAAUGGAAGUGAGAAGAUUUUUAAGAGCACGUAUUUUCUAUCAUAUAUGGAUACCUCAUUUUACACAUAUAGCAAAUCCAUUGUAUGAAUUGUUAAAAAAGAAUAAAAAAUUUCAAUAGGAAUAAAAACAAAAAAAGGUGUAGAAAAAUUGAAAUGACUUCUUUCUUCACUUCCAACUUUGAAGAAAGUAAAUUAUGAAGUUGGAAGGCUAGUGGUAUUAAUAAUUCAUGUAAACCCAAUUAGAAUAGGUUGGACAGUUGGACAAGAUGAUGAAUAAGGGAAUAGAUAUGUAGUAAGAUUUAGAAUAAAGGUUUUGAAUAUUACACAAAGGGCAUAUGUGGAAAUCAAAAGAGAAUUAUGGGAUGUAGUAAUAGCUAUGAAAAAUAAAAAAGAGUACUUUAUUGAGACAUCAAUAGUUAUAGAAAUAAAUUAUCCAACUUUAUUAGGUAUGAUAACAAGUUAUUCAAGUUUUAAUAUUGCUAUAUUAAGAUGGAUAGCAUAUAUCAAAUCUAUGAAUUCAAAAUUUAAACACAUUAAAAGGAAAGAAAAUUUGGUCACAGAUAUGUUAUCAAGAACAAAGCAUUAUGAUGAAGAAGAGAUGAUUGAUUUGGAAGAUGAUGUGGCUACAAAAUUUUAUACUAAUGUAUUAUCAAAGAAAGAAGAUGUAGAUUUGAAUAUACUAUUAAAAAUAUUUUUAAGAGAUUUACAUGAAGAUGAAUGAAAAGAUAUUGGAGAGUAUUUAAGUACAUUAAAGCAUCAAGAAGGUUUGGCAGAUCAAGAAUUUAAGAAAAUCCAUAAGAAAAGCUAUGGAUAUUUUUUACAUGAUGGAUAUUUAUGCAAGUAUCCAAAAAAGAGAGGAGAAGUACUAAAAAAGGUGAUAUAUGAUUUAGAAGCUCAACAAAAGAUUAUUAAAGAAUUUUAUAAAAUUUUAUGGGCACGACAUCGAGGUAUUUGAAUAACAUUUACUAAGUUGAGAGAAAAAUAUUGGUAGAAGGAUAUGUACAAAGAUAUAGCAAAUUUUGUAGGAUCUUGUAAAACUUAUCAAAUUUAUUCAAAUAUUUGGCAUUGAGAUAGGUUAUACCCAACAUAUCCUUUGGCUUUACAUUAUAAGUGGAUGGUGAAUUUAGUGGCAAUGCCUAUAGAACUUGAAAAAAUGAAGUAUUUGGUACUUGCAUAAGAAGAUUUAUCAAAUAUGAUUGAAGGACGAGCAUUAAGAACAAAGAACUUUGAAAGUAUAUGCCAAUUUCUAUUAGAAGAUGCUAUUUGUUGUUAUAGUUGUAUUGAAAAAAUUACAAUAGAUAGGAGUGAAUUAGAUGCAAAAGAAGCACAAUUUUUUUUGAUAGAAUAGGAAUUAAAAUUUCUUUAACAACAAUAUAUAAUCCAGAAAGUAAUGAUAAAAGUGAGCAUGGAUAUUCACCUAUUAUUAAGGCAUUAGUAAAGGCAUGCAAUGGCAAAGCUCAUGAAUGGCCUAGACUACUACUAUUUGUAUUAUGGAUAGAUUGUACAACUCAUAGUUUAGUAACAGGUUAUAUGCCUUAUGAAUUAAUAAAUAGACAAAAAUCAUUAAUGCCAAUAGAAGAUGUAAUACCUACAUGGGAUAUAUUGCCUUGGAAGAAUGAUCUCAACAGAGAAGAACUUUUAGCAUUAUAGAUUUAACAAUUAGAAAGAAGACCUAAUGAUAUUAAAGGUGCAAUAGAAAGAUUGAAAGAAGUAAGGAAAAAGAAUAAAGAAAGAUUUGAUAAAAAACAUCGACUAUGACCUAAGCGAAUUAAAGAUGGUAAUUGGAUGUUAAUUUAUGAUAGUAGCUUGGACAAUCAAUAUAGUACAACAAAAAAGUUUGGAAAGAGAUGGUUUGGACCUUAUAUUGUUAAAAAGGCAUACAACAAUGGAACAUACUUAUUACAAGAACUUGAUGGUACAAAAUUGAAGAUACCUAUAGCAAACAAAUGAAUUAAGUUAUUUAAACAAAGAAAUGAAGAUAUUUGUUUUGAUGAAGAAUAAAUCUAAUAUAAGAUAUUGAGAUGGGAGUAGAGGAGCAAAUUGAAGAUCAAGAAUUUGAACAAGAUGAAGAGCGUUCUACAUUAACAUGUUGAAGAAUCAUUGCCACAUGCCGGAGGCUACAUAAAUUCAAGGAAGGUGGAUGUUGUGAUGUAAUACGAUUAAUAUAUGAAAGAAUAUAGAAAUUAUUAUAUUAUAAAAGAUCUUAGUUUAAAAUAUUAUAAAAAAUUAUCUUAAAAAUAUAGAUAAUAGUCAAAAAGAUAGUAAAACUAAAAAAUAUUUAUAUUACCUUUUAUAAAAUAGACUUCUAUUUAGUUGAGAGUGCUAGCCCUAAUUUCAUUGCAUAAAUCCCAAGUUGCUAAUACAAAUCCUAACUUUCAACAACAAUUUCUAAGUCUCACCAAAUCCUAAAAAAUCAGCCUUAUGUCUUUGAAACAAGCUCCAACAUAGCUCUCAAAUUUUAAUCUCCAAUCUUCAAAAUAAAAACCUAUUUUGCCUAAGGCAGUCAUUUUAGUAGCUGGAGGUCUGAUUAUGACCUUGUCUCAUAGAUGGUCAACCCUCGAGUAUCAAAUUAACCUAUCCUAAGGAUUUUUUAAUCAAAUCCUAUCCUCAACUUAAUCUUAGUAUCAAUCUUACUAAUUAUUUAUCUCUUCUAAUCUGUUUUUAUUAAUUUAUGGUUUUUUCAAGGUAAUAAAAGAGUUUCUAUAGCCUAGAAGAUAAAAGUACCAACCAACCUUCAACCUACUAACUAUUUAGAUACCUUGAAUUAUUAUUGAAUCAAGAUAAUUAGAAAUUAAUUAGAAAUUUAAUUUUGAUUAUAAUUUCAUUAUAUAGUCGUAUUAUAUCACGACACUAGUUAUCAACCUGGAUUGGAAUCAAAUCAUGAGAUACAAAAUCACACACCUAUGGCCACUUUGGGGUUUUUUUGGAGAUUGGAGAAUAAUGUUUGAUAGUAGACUUGAUAGGAUUUUUAUGAGCAUUGGAUUUGUGUGAUUUGGAUCUAUAAUGACUUUGUAAGAAUUUUAUAAAGUCAAGAUUGUUUCAGACUCGAGAUUUUGUGAAAUAAAACAGGGUUGUCAUUUUUAAAAAUUUCAAGAGUUUUAUAGUAAAUAUAUAAGUAAACUUUUGUCGAUUAAUGGUUAUAGUUAUGCUUAAUAUGUAUUGUGAAUUUUAGCUUGAUCUAACAAUUGAAUUAAAGGUUAUUGAGGUUGAAGUGAAUUACGAUCUUAGAAAAUAGAAUUUUAGGUCUAACAAGGAUUUCUAAGAUUUCUUACAAUCUAUUAGUUAGAUUGGAGUGAAAGUUGUGUACAUGGAUAAUGUCACAGAUAUAUCAUUGAAGAAGAUUUGAGAAGAUUCUAAAAAAUUUUAGAAGGUUCUAAAAAAAUUCUUUUAGAUCUUGAAAGGCUCCAAAUAGUUCUAGAAGAUUUCAAAAGGUUCUAGAAGGUUCUAAUAGAUUCUAAGAAAGUUCUAGAAGGUCAUAGGAGAUCUUGGAUGGUUCUAUGAUGCUUUAGAUGAUUUAGGAAGUUGCUGAAGAAGGAUCUUAGACUUGCUUUGUUUUCAAGCCUCAUGGAAACUUCUCAAGAAGCUUCUUAUCACCUAGUAUAAAUAAGAAUCGAGGCUCAGGGGAUCAGUAGUCUCAACAACUCACUUCUUGUGGUCUAGUCAAGACCUUCUUGCUUUGUAUCUAAUAAUUAUUUUGAUGUUGAGCUAGCUCUAUUUUUUGGUCUUGAAUUCUUAUCUUGUAUACAAUCCCUAAUAUUUUGUCAAGACUACCACAAAAUAAUAUUAGAAGCUUGAUAUUUUUUAACUGAGAAUGGAUUAAGCCUCUUCUUAGAAAUAACAUAAUAUUCUAGAGGUUGCGGAUUACCCUCCCUUAGACUAAUAUUAUUCUUUUCUUAGUAUUCUUUUGGAUUUUUUUUAAUAUCAUAGAUCAAGUUUUUAUUUUUUUUAAAAAAAUUUCUAUGAUAAAAGGUAAAAAAGUCAAUAUGAAAAAUUCCAAAGUGAUCAAAUUAGUACUUUUAAAGCAUUGAAGAUCAAGACAAAGACUUUAUCAAAGUAGAAUGAAGAACUAUACAUGACCAUACAUAAUGGUCAAGGAACCGGAGUGUCUCAACCACUACAUCAAACAACAAUAGAGGUUCCUAAUUCUCAAAUGACUAUAUCUGUUUCAAUAAAUAUGGAAGGUGCAUCCACUCAAAGUAAUGAUUUGAUAAAAAUAACAACAAAAGAACCAAGGAUCAACCUUCCAAAAAAGUUCAAUGGCACCUGCUCAAAAUUUUGUGGCUUUAUAAACCAAGUAUGACUAAUCACCUUGCUUCAACCUCAACAAUAUUCCACUGAAGUAUUUUAUGUUAGUUUAGUUGGAACCUUGCUCUAAAGUCAAGCUUUAUCUUAGUUUAUUCCAUCAUUUGAAAAGAAUUCUCAUAUAUUGUAUAAUUUUGUAGCAAUUUUGGCAGCAUUUAUAGAAGCAUUUGGUGAACAUGAUAAGAUUUAUUCUACAACAACUAAAAUUUGAAGAAUUUGAUAAAGAACAUGUUUUGUAUGAAUGUAUGCCUUAGAUUUUUGACAAUUAGCAUGUGAUAUAAAUUGAAGAGAAGAUGCGUUGUUGGGGUAGAGAGAGUUUGCCUCAAAAAAGUGCUGGGCUUCUAGCUGCCAUUAAAUGCUCAAUCAAGUCUAAGAUAUAAAAAGUACUAAGUUUAUAUAUAUAAUAAUUUUUUUUUAGAGCAAUUACAUCAAAACAUAAGCCAAGUACCAAGAAAACAUCCAAAUAUAUGAUAAAGUAUCUUAAAACCUUAUAUAUCCUUGUGAGAAAUGUUUCUCAAACUUCAACAGCUCAUAUCUCACGAUCGGACUGUCCAAACAAUCUAAAAUUUUAUAUAAAGUACUGACAUAAUUUCCAAAACUACCACAAAAAAAUUCAACUGCAAAUUCGUUACGAAUCUUGAGAUAUCACCAAAAUCCUAAUAGUAGCUUUAAACCCUAGCUUACAUACAUCUUCAUGCUAUUUUCUUUAUAUCUCACAAAAUAAGUACUCAAAUACCAUGAAACUUUGAUCUAUAGCUUGUUAACUUAAUAACUUAUAUUUAUAAAACUUUUUAGUCCAAAAUUCGUCCAAAAACUCAAGAUAUAGCUUUAACCAUUACUAUCAAUAAAAUGACUUACUUACUGCCUUUGAAUUACAUGUGAUGUCUUCAAUGCCCUAUAACUCUUUCAUCUAGAUUUGGAAUUUAUUAAAUAAUAUAUGUAAAGUAUAGCAAAGAAAGUUUUCUCUCCAAUUCUAAUUGCUGAUAUUUUGUUGCUCUCAGUAUGCAUAUGUUAUGCCUCAAAGAGAAGACAAUAGGUACAAAUUUGACACCUCAACUUUGAAUACUUAUAUCUCCUUCACAAAAACUCAAAAUUACACAAAUUCUUCAUCCAAAUUAUAUCCAAAAUCUUGAACUUGCUAAUCCUAGCCUCCAAAGCUAGAAUGACCUUGAAAAAAAACCCUAAUUCCUAAUAAGGCCUUGGGCAGCCUUCUUGAAGUCCAUUGGGCAUAGCCUUCGACCAAUAGGAAUGAAGAUCUCCAUUCAUUGCCUUCAUCCACCAUGCCUUGCUUUCACCCUUUCCAAUAAGCUUCCUACUAGUUAAAAAUUUCUUCUUUAGGCUGUAAUCUCCUCUCAAGGCUUCAUACUAACAUUUAGGAUCUAUAAUUUUUUUGAAAUGCUAUAAUUAAAAAAAUAAAAUUCAAAAUAAUUUUUUUUUUUAAAUCCACUCUCUUUAAAUUAAUCUAUUAACCAUUCUAACACAUAUCAAGACUUAUGAACAUAUUAUAUGUUCUAACUAAUUUUUACAUACUAUAAGCAUUUACAGUAUGAUAAUGUCCUUGCAGCUAAACAUUUCGGAUUCAAUAAGACCUUAGAACUUUUGUCUAGAGACUUUUGGUGGCCUAAAAUAUCGAAGGACGUUAAGAAAUUUGUACUAUCAUGUCAUUCUUGUUCAAGGUCAAAGAAUCCUUGACACCAAUGAUAUAGACUUUUUUAACAUAUAGACUUUUUUAACCCCUUUCUAUUCUAAGACAACCAUGGUCAUCUAUUUUCAUGGAUUUUAUUACAGAUCUUCUACCAUCAAGCUCAUUUGAUACUAUCUUUGUAGUUGUUGAUUGUUUGACCAAGAUGGCAUAUUUUAUACGUUGGAAGAAAUCGAUUAUUGGUGAAGAGAUGGCAAAACUCUUUAUUGACAAUGUCUAUUGUUACUACAGUGUUGUAUAGCAUGAUUUGCAAUCUUAGAAUACAUUAGAUACUUAGUUGUAGAGAGUUUAGCUUUGACUUAUAUAUAAUGUCUUAUCUCCCAAAAUCCAUUUAUUUUGUAAAAAAAGCUCAAAUUAUUACAAAACCCUUCAAAAUAUUUUCUUCUCGUAAAAGAUAUUUUUACCUUGAAUUUUAAAAAUUCAUAUCUCUUGAUCCAACUAUUCAAUUAUUUUCAAAUUUCUAUGUAAUAUAGAUUCUAUUUUUAUACUUUAUCACAAAAUAAAUAAACUAUAAAUCUAUAACUAAUUUUUUGAUAUCUUAGAAAUCCUAGCACGUGUUCUAAAUAUUAAUCUACAAGCACUCAAAAACUAUUUUUUUUAUAUUAAAAAAAAUAAAAAUUCAAAUACCAUAAAACUUAUGUAUAAAGUUUAGUAAUAUAAAAAAUACACAUUCUUAGAAAUUUUUGGCCAAAAUCUUGUCAAAUUGCAAAAGAUAUAGCUCAAAACACAACUACUAGCAAUUCAGGUCACUUACUACUCCUUAGAUUCCAAGUGCUGACUUCAACUUCUAAUAUCUCCUUUAUUCUAGCUUAAAAUUCAUCAAAAAAUAUAUGUAAAAUAUAGCUGAAAAAGUUUUCUUUCCAACUUCAAUUGCCAAUCCUUAAUUGCUUUUUGUACGCAUGCGUUAUAUCCAAAAGAGUGAGAGUAGGUACAAAACCAACACCUUGACUUUGAGCGCCUAUAUCUCCUUCAUAAAAACUCCAAAUGAAUCAGAAAAUAUACCAAAACUAUAGCUAAAAACUUGAAAUUACCGACUUUAGCUUUUGAUGAUCAAAUUCUUCCAAAAAACUAAUCUUAAUCUUUAAUAUGGUCUCAAGUAGCCUCCUUGAAGCCCAUUGGUCAUGAUUUUUGACCAAUAGGAAUGGAGAUUUAUAUCAUCUAUCUCCAUUCAUUCAUAUGGAUGUUUUAACUACCUUUUUUUCUACCAAAAUCCCUCUUCAAUCUCUUUUCAUAUACGAUUUAUAUAUUAUAUGUCUUAAACACCAAAUUAAAAAACCAAAAUAAAACUUUAAGGGUCAUCAAUGUCUAACAAAGGUGACUCUAAAUGUAUAAAGUAACUACCUAUAAAACCAACUUCAAAAGUCACUAUCAAAAGAAAAUAAAGUUAUACAAAUUUUAAUAGUAAUCCUUUUAAACAACCUCUUUUUAAAAUAGUAAUUUAACCACAUUCUACAACCAAUUAAAAUCCAAUAACAUGGCUAUCAUCAUAUUGCUAAGUAAAUUGUACAUUAAAUAUAUAAACACAUUAUUUUCUUAUGGUAGCUAAACCACAAUACAACAUUGGCUUAUUAGAUGAUAUUGUAUCAAAUCAUCAGCCACAAUUUGUAUCUAUGUUUUGGAAGGCACUCUUUAAGAUUCUUAAGGUUGACAUCAACCUUUCUUUUGCCUUCUAUCCUCAAAUUGAUGGUCCAACUGAGUGAAUCAAUUAAAUUCUUGAGCAAUAUUUGAGAUACUUCAUCAAUUAUUAACAAGAAGACUAGACUUCCUAUUUGUCAUUGGCAGAGUUUGUAAAUAAUAAUAUAAUCCAUGCAUCUAUUUAAUAAAUGCUAUUCUAUUCAAAUUAUGAUCAUCUUCCAAAGUUGGAUAUGAUAGAGCCUUCAUAGUUGACAAAUCCAGCAGCAAAGGAGUUUGCUACAAAGAUGGCCAAACUUCAAACAACUCUAAAGAUUCACUUAGAAAUGACUUAACAACAUUAUAAGCUAGUACUAGAUGAAUUGAAGAAUGAAUAUCCUCCAUUUCAAGUUGGUGACAAAGUAUGGCUUUUUGAGCACAAUAUAAAAACCAACAGGCCAUGUGAUAAGUUGGACUACCGUAAGUUGGGACCAUUUGUGAUUCAAAAACAAAUCAAUAAUGUAACUUAUCACUUGGAGUUACAUUCAUCUAUAAAGAUUCAUCUAAUUUUUUAUUUUUUACUUUUAGAAAGAUAUAAAGAAUUGAAUAUAUUAAGUUGAAGAUAAUGACCACCUCCUAUGGUUGAAAUCAAUGAUCAUAUUGAAUUUGAAGUAGAAGAGGUAUUAAAUUUAAGGAUAAGACAUAGAAGGCUUCAAUAUCUCGUCUAUUGGCAUGGAUAUGAUAUCAAUGAUUGCACAUAGAAACCAAAUGGAAAUCUUGUAAAUGUACAAAUGAAGGUUCAAAAGUUCCAUUAAUAACAUCCAUCUAGACCAAAAGCAGCAAAAUGAAGAAUAGUAGCUUAGUAACAUGGCUUCAUCAUGAAGUUUUUUAGUUCUUGGUCUCAUACGAAAGGAGAAGAGGCAAUUUUUUCAAACGUUUAAGAACAAUAUAAGUCAGUAGUUUGAGUUCACAACCAUAGCUUAUUUAUAUUCUUUUGGUCUUGUCUAUUUUGUGUGAUGAAUAGUCAAAAAAUAGACACCUUCCCAGUCAUACCAUCUCAAUCAUGUAACUUGCAAAGAUGACUCUGAAAUGAGAGGUCACAUGAACUAAGAAGACAUCAUAAGAUAUCUAAUAAUAGGUCACUAAUAAUUAUAUUUGAGAUAGAAUAUGCCUAUAAAAGACCCUCAAAAGAAGUAUUUACAAGAAAAUUUCAUAACAAAGAUACCAAAAUUCAUAGGAUUGUUGAGGAGAUCUUUAAUCUCAACAACUUACUUCUUAUGGUCUAGGCAAUACCUUUUUAUCUUGUAUCUAGUUAUUCUUUUAAUAUAGAGCUAACUCCAUUUUUUGGUCUUCAAUCUUUGUCUUGUAUAUGGUUUCUAACAAGUAAUAGACUUAUUUUUCUAUAUAUAUAUAUAUAUAUGAGAAUUUUGAGAUCAAUUGAAUAGUACAAAAGAGAAAUGUUAGCAUUGAAAGAUCAACAUUAAAGUUGGAGAUGGAGGCCGACCAACAUUCAAGCAGAUUUUAGGAUUUCUCUUUUAUUUGGUAAAUGGAUUUAAGAUUAAGGAUUUGGUUAGGAUUUGGUUAAGAUUUGAUUUAAGGUUUAGGAUUUGAUUAGGAUUGAAUUUAGGAUUUAAGAUUUAUCUAAGAUUUGAUUUAGAGUUUAGAAUUUAUCUAAGAUUUGAUUGAAGUCUAUUAGGGUUUUAAUUAGGAUUAAAUUAGAACUUAGUUGAUAUUUAUUUAAGAUAUAUUGUAAUUAUUUUAAUAUUUUUUAGUGCUUCUUAAGGAUUCUUUUAAAGUUUAUUGUACAUUAUCUUUCAACUCUUUUAAGGUUUUUUAUUUUUUCUUUUGUAAUUUCUUUAAGAUUUCUUUUGAAUCUGAUUAAAGGUUAUUUAGCAUUAUUAAGAUUUAAUUAGAACUUAUUUGGUAUUCUAUUAGAAUUAGGAUUUUGUUAUUGCAAUUUCUAUUUUACCCUCUCCAGCCACGUACUCAAUGCACUCUCAAGCAACACUUUAUAUAAUAUGACAAUGGAAUCAUCCACAAAUAUCAUAUUGGCUAUAGUAUGACCUCAUAGUAAUCUAAGUCCAACCAGCUUCUUCUAUAGAUCCUCUAAUAUGAUGUGGAGAACUUCACAAACUAGUAUAUAGAGAUAUAGAGCUAGUUGAUAUUCUUGUAUGAUUGAGUAUUGUAGUUUGAAGGCUUUAUCAUAUUCUUUAUUCAAUGAUACAAAUCAAAUAUAUUGAUAUAUAACUCUAUAAUAAUUUUGAUCCAUUAAUCAUUGAAAUCUAUUGUCGAUUGUUGUAUGGCAUGAUUUUCUAUUUAAAAAUAUACCGGAUAACUAACUAUAGAAAGUUUAGUUUUAAUUUAUUAGACAAGUUCCAAUAAGUGAUGUAUUCUUAUUAUAAAGGCUAAAUAAAUACAAUAAUAUCAAAAGAUAUUCUAUUGAUAAAAUCCUUUUAUAAUUAAGAAGCUUUAUAUAUAAGGUUUUCUAAAGUAUCUAGAAAUGCCUUUAUAUCCUUUGCUAUACUAAGUCAUAAUUAAAUCAUUUGCCGACAAGCUUGAUUUUCAAUAAGUUCAAAGAAAAUCCAUAAUCUCUUUGCAAAAAUCCAUCUUUAUACUUUAAUUUUGCCAUAGCUCUUUAUCUUCAUCUUUAAUAUGUACGUAAAGUAUUACUUUCCAAAAACUCCUUUACUUUACAUAAAAUAUCCAAAUUAUAGCAAAAUCCUUUCAAAACGUUCUUCUCUUGUAAAGAAUUUUUAUUUGUGAACUUUAGAAAUUCAUAUCUUUUAAUUCAGCCAUUCAAUUUUUUUUGAAUUUUUAGAUAAGUUAGAAUUUAUUUUUAUAUUUUAUUAUAAAAAAUGAGCUAUAAAUCUACUACAAAUUAUUUGGCAUCUUAAAAAUCAUAGCAAUUACUUUAAAUCCCAAUUUACAAGCACCUAAGUACUAUUUUCUUUAUAUCUCAAAAAUCCAAAAUUCAAAUACCACAAAUUUUUUGUAUAAAGUUUAGUAACCUGAUAAUAUACAUUUUUAGAAAUAUUUAGCUAAAAUUUUAUCAAAUUGCUCAAGAUAUAGCUCAAAAUACAACCACUAGUAAAUUGGAUUACUUACUACCCUUAGAUUUUAAGUGUUAACUUCAACUUCCUAUAUCUCCUUCAUCUUAGAUUAUAAUUCAUUAAGCAAUAAAUUAAAAGUGUAGCCAAAAAAGUGAUUUUUUCUACUCUGAUUGUCAAUUCUUCAUUUCUUUUUGUAUGCAUGUGUUAUAUUCAAAAGAGUGAUAGUAGGUUGAAAACUAAUACCUUGACUUUAAGCACCUAUAUCUCUUUUAUAAGAACUCUAAAUUAUACAAAAUUUGUACCAAAAUCAUAGCCAAAAUCUUAAACUUCUUGAUCCUAGCCUCUUAAAUUCAAAUUCCCUCAAAAGAAUAAUCCUAAUUCCUAAUAAGGCCUUAGGCAGCCUCCUUGAAGCCCAUUAGGCAUGAAUUUUGGCCAAUAAGAAUGAAGAUUUUCAUCAUCUAUCUCCAUUCAUCCAUGUAGCUGACAUAACUACUCUUUUUAUAUUAAAUCUCGUCUCUAAUUUUUUUUCUAAUAAGUUUUGCAUAGUAUGUGUUCUAAACAUCAAAUAAAAGAAACAAAAUAAGAUUGUAAGAAUCACUAAUGUAUAAUAAAAGUAUCUCUAAAUAUAUAAAAACUCUUUUUAAACUAAUUACUUCAAAGUAAUAAUCUAACUAUAUUUUGUCACUACUUAAAAUCUAAUAAUAUGACUUUUACUUCAUUGUAUAAUAAAUUUUAUACUAUAUAUAUAUAUAUAUAUAUAUAUAAUUUUUACAUAGUAAUUGAACUACAAUAUAAUAUCAUAUUAUUUUCUAGAAUAUGAUCUAGAAGACCCUAUUGAAGACCUUUUUAAAGUCAAGAAUGGAAAGAAUGAGGUCUUCAUUAUUCAAGGCCAUCAAUUCCAUAACUUCAAAGGCCAUCAAUAUGUUAUUAAAAAUGCAUUGCCUUUUGUCAAAUGUAGUUUGAGAAUGACUAAUGAAAAAAGGUAUAAAUUCUAUCAUUUUGUUAGUAAUGAUUUUAGCUAUAAAUGAAUUCUAAAAUUUUUAUAAAUGAAUCUUAAAAAAAAAAAGAUUUCAAGUUUUUAAUAUUGGUUAUAUCUCUUCUUUUAUAGAAUAGAUUGAUUUUUCUUAUGUUUAAUAUUUUGCAAAAGAUGUAAUUCUAAAAGGUAUCUUUUAUCAAGGUAAAAAAAUCAUCUUUUAUUUCUAUGAUUAGCUCUUUGAAGAGAUCUAUUAUAAUUUCAUCUACUUCAAGAAUCUUCUGAACUAAUAGGUUAUUUAUGGCAUUUCUAAUUUCUUUUAUUUUAGAUCUCUUAUAAGUUUAUUUUAUUUAGAAGUGACAUUGAUUGUAAGGUUUUAAAAAUAAUUUUAUUGAUCAACUUGAUUAUUUUCUAUCAUAUUAUCUUUAAAGUAUAAGAUGGUAUUGAAUUUAUUUAUAAGAGCUUGUAGAUUUCUUUAAUUAGAUAAUAGUAGUUUUUUUACACUUUAUGUGUGACUAUUGAAUUAAAACUUCUAUUCUUUGUCUGCUAUCUCUUUAUAUAAAGUAAUUAUAUAGAGCUAUUCCGAGGGCUUCUAUUUCUCUUGUCUUGUGUAUUUUCUUUGGUUUUAUUACAAGUGCAAAAGCAUUGAUCUUGGCUCAACUAUUAUGUACUUUGAUCUAACUAAUUUAUUUUUUUUGUUUCAUUCUAAAAUAAAUGUAUCUAAAAUUGAUACAAUUUAUUCUCUAAGAGCUAUAGAUUUUUUUAUUAGUAGAAAACUAGUUAAUGAUAUAUUUGAAUCUUUAUAUAGAAGCUUUUAGAAUUUUUUGGUCUAAGUACUUUAUGUUGGCUCUGAGUUUUACAAAGUCUCAAAGAAUAACUACUAAAUCAAGCUACCAUUGAGUUAUAUCUCUGUAGGUGGUUUGAUCACUCUUCCAUUGCAUAUGCAUCAUUCACUCUACUAUUGCACUAUAGUUCUAUAAAUGGACUAAUUAUUCUACUUCUAAGCCACAAAUCUGUAUUGCAAUUGAUAAAUUCUAUUAUAUAAUGAUACAUAUUUUAUAUUGUUUUGAAAGUGACAUCCUUAAUAAAGCCAUAGAGGCAUAGAUCAUAGCAAACUGCUUAUCUGACAAACAUAUGUUGCAGUGCCAAUGACUAGCUGAUUAGUUCUAGAUUGCCAUUGCAAUUUUGUUGCAAGUAAUCAAAACUAUCUAUAUAGCAUGGUUGUUGCUUUUGUAUUGUCUUAUAGCUACUUAGCAAUAGUUGUUACUUAAGAGGGAAUAAAUUAAGUAGAUGUCUAUUAAAUUGUAUCUUUAUUUAUUAUUAUUAAUUCUCUUUUUAUUUUAUCCUAAAAUCCUAAAAUAUUAUUGAUGUGCUUGCCAUACUCUUUUAUUGUACAUCUUCAUAUUGCAUCUAUGUUCUCUCUAAGAAUUUUAUCUAAGAUGUUUGCAAGGAUAAGAUUCUAUUAAUAAAUUAAUAAAGAUCUUUAUUAUUUUAUAUUAAUAUUAUAAAUAUUCAUAAUCAAUUGUUAGUAUUUUUUCUUGUAGUAUUUUAAUGGAUAUAUUAUUAAAGUUUUUGUUUGAUUAUUGGUGUUGGUUAUUAUUAUUUGUGGUCUUGUCUAUGGCUACACCACUCUUAAUACUCUUUUAUAAAAGUAGCUCUAAUUGAUGUUGUUUUGAUGUGGUAAUAGACCUCCUCACUAUCUACUUAUUAUAUCCUCUAUUUUUAGGAUGUAAUCUUCAGUUGUUGCUUUGAUUGUUGACAAAGAUCCACUUUGAUAAAUUAUUCUUUUAUAAUUAUGUAUAAUAUAGGGUGGAAUAUUAGUCUUGAUUCAUAUGUAUUUUAAUAAAGGUGGAUGACUAACUUUUUUGAGAUGAGUCAUAGAGAUGGUACAAUCUUUAAAGUGAGUAGAUCUUGGUUUGCAAAGAUAAUAUGUUUUGUCAAAAUUAUAGUAUAUAGUGUCAUUUUUUGAUGGUGUAUAUUUGAAGGGUAAUUAUAUUAAUAUAGUUCUUUCCAAGAUUUUAGUCUCAUCUACACUAUUGUCUUCCUCAAUUUAAAGAAGAUGUGGCUAAUAUAAAAUGGAUUUCAAUCUUUAUUAAAGGUUUAUUUUGUGUACUAUACAUUCCAUAGAAUUAGGAUUUUUAAAAGAAACUAAGAGAUUUCUUUGGAAUUCAAAUUAUGAUUAUAAAGGUCAAGUUUUUUUAUGAGGAUUAUUAAAUUAAAGUUGCUGUAUAGAACAUUUGUGCAAUAGCUGAGGGGUCUUAAAAAGGCCAACCAUUGUAGUAUAUUGUAGCAUUUCUAGACUAAGCAGAUGGCUAAGUACUCUCAAAAGGCAUAUUGUAUAAUUUCAAUUUUUCUAAUGUUUCAUAAUUUUUAGCUCAAAUCCACUUUCACGGCCUUAUGCCAUUGCUCUAUUAAGAUAUCUUUUGCUAUUGUAUUAUAUGAAGUCUUCUUUGACAAUGCAAUAAGCUCUUGUUUGUAAAAAGUAAAAGAAAAUUUCAACAAUAAGUUCUAACAAUUCUAAUACAAUCAUAUAUAAAUUAUAAUUAAAGCUUAACAAAUAUAAUCAAGUAUUGAUUAUGUUCAAUUAAAUUUUCAAAUAAAUUAUAAAAGAAAUAAAAAAAAUUCUAAAAAAAUCUUAAUUGAAUCUUAGAAAAAUCCUAGAUAAAUCCUAAAUAAAUCCUUAAAAAUCCUAAUUAAAUCCUAAAAAAAUCCUAAUAAAAUCUUAGACAAAAUUUAGUCAAAUCCUAGACAAACCCUAACCAAACUUUAGACCUUAAAUCAAUCUUAAAUCUUAAAUAAAUUCUUAAAAAAUCCUAUGGUAAAUUAAAACUUUCAUAAUUAAUAAUCAAAUUAUUGAUUUUAAUUCAAAUUUUUCAAAUCUUCCAAUAAUCAAGCUGAAAAUAACCACAAAUAUUUUUGAGAAGAUCAAACUUACCAUAUAGAAGAUAAAUCCUAAAAUCCGCUUGGGUGUUGGUUGGCCUCUUUUUCCAAUCAUGAUGCCAAUCUCUUUGAGCCAAAAUUUCUUAAUUCUAUUAUUAAAUACCUCCAAAAAUUCAUAUAUAUGGUAGAAAUUAAGUCUAAAAUCUAUGUACAUAAAUUUCACCUCAAUCCAAAUAGUAGAUUAUUAAAGAUCUUAGAAAUCUUUAUUAAAUCUCAAAACCUCAUAUUUAAGACUCCAAUCUACUUAAACUUCAAUAAUCUUUAAUUUAAUUAUUUGAUCAUGCUUAAAUUUAUAGCAUGCAAUAAAAAAACUAUAAUUACAAAUAUAAAAAUUAUCACUUAUAGAUCUAUUAAAAAACUCACAAAAUUCUUUCAAAUAUAUAUAUAUAUAUAUAUAUAUAUAUAUAUAUAUAUAUAUAUUUUUCACAAAAUCAGAUUUACCAAAAACAACCUUGACUUUGUAAAACUCUUAUAAAGUCAUUACAAGCUCAAAUUGCUCAAAACCAAUACUCUAAAAAAACCGAUGAAGUUUUCUUUCAAAUCCCACUCUUUGAUUAAUUAAAAAAACUCCAAAGUCGCCAUAGGUGCUUAAUUUUGUGCCUCAAGGUCUGAUUUUGAUCCAAGUUGGCAACCAGUCAUUUUUGGGUUUUAUUUAUUUUUCUUGAGAUAAUAUUUCUUAAAAUAAAUUUCUAAUUUCUUUAUAUAUAUGCUUAUAUCUUUUAUUUUUCUAAUCUAUCUUGUUUUGUCUUAUUUAUGGUCCUUCAAAAUAAGAAGAAGUUCACUUUAUAAAAAGAUAAUAUUUGCACUUUUAAUUUUAUUAUCUUUUGACUAUUGUCUAUAUUUCUAAAAUAAUUUUUUACAAUAUUUUGAAAUAAGAUCUUCUAUAAUAUAAUAUUUAUUUAAUCUUUCAUAUAUUAGUUGUGUUACAAUAUGACAUUGCUACGGUGACCAUCUCAUGGUUGCCAUUUUUUUGAAGAUUCAAAGAUACAACAGGGUCUUGUAAACAAGGUUACAUUAGACAUUGUCAAAGUUGUGUGUAUAUAUUAGGCUCUUUUGUACUAAUUGACCUUUGCUCUUGAUGCAUUAAAAAAUAAAUUUAAUAUUUGUAUUACUUUAGUGAGGUUCUUUGAAGUAUAAGCUAGAUAUAAUCUAAUGUUGUAAAAAAAUAUCUAAUUUUUAAUCAUGAAGUAAUUUGAAAGUUAAAAUCUUUGAACAUUCUUUUAAAAUUAUCCAACAUAUAUCUUAAAAUAUUGGCUAUAAAUAAGAAUAAGUAUGGUGCCAAGGAACAAUUCUAGCAUAUGAAUCUCUUAAGGUUGAAAAUAUGGUCUUAUUAUCCAUUGAUCAUGAUUUUGGUUUCCACUUUUCAAUUUAGUAUCAUUACUAUGUUGAUCUAAGAAUUCCAAAAGCCCAUAAGAACUAAGGUUGUUUCUAAAAAGCUCCAAUUAAUAUGAUUAUAGGCUUUAUUAAAGUCUAAUAGUAUUAGCACUAGAUCUUGGUGGCUCUCUUUUGUCCAUGAUAUUGCUUCAAAUAUAAGAAAUAUAUUAUUAAAAAUAUGACGUCUUACUACAAAGUAUAUAUAUAAAGAAAUUAGAAAUAUAAGUGUAUUCUUGUCAAUCUAUCAAAGACAAGAACUCAAUGAAAGUAAAUAAUCAAGCAAGAUUCUUUCAAAAAAAAAUAUGACAAAAUAAAAAAUAAAUAAAUAUGUAUAUUGAAAAAGAAAUUAGAAUGGCUAUUGCUAAAAGAUAAAAAAAACUAGAGACUCUUAAAACCGAACUAGAAUCAAAAAAAGACUUCAUAAGAAUAAAGAAGACUUCACUCUUGCCUCUAUAUAUACUAUCUAUCUAGGAUCUAUGUGGUGAUGUUCUAUAAGACCUCUAAAAACGUGUUGACUUUGCAUAAUACGUAUCUUAACUUGUAAGGCAAAUUUUCUAUAUAGGCACCAUAUUAUUAGCUUGUUUUAUAAGCUACUAAUAUAUGUGGCACGUAGUUAGCUUGUUGACUAAGUUUCUAACCUACCAAUCAACUACAAACAUAAAUAAAGUCAAAACAACAUCUAAAAAGCUUUUAAAAAGCUUUUCUAGAAAGUGUUAUGAAAUUAAUUUAUUUUUAUCUACUUUUACCUAUUUAUAUUAUUUAGAUAAAAAUUACAAUAGAUAUAUAUAUCGAUGAUAUAUGAAGCUUUUUUACAAAAUAUGCUAUUAAAUUAAACUAUUUUUACAUAAUUUUAUUUAAUUAUAUAGAUAAGUAUUAAAAUAAGUAUAUAUGUCUAUGAUAUUAUUUUCUCUUUUAGACAUAAAUUCCAUAAAGAAUAGUCAUUAUACAUUAAAAAAAUCCAAAAUGCAACAAAUUAUGUUUGCCACAUACCUUGAUCUUUAUUCUCUUUCAAGAUGAUUAAUAGUUGUGAGUGGAUUUUUUUCUCCUCAUUUAAAUUUGAUUUAAUUAGAUAAACUUAGAUUAGAGUUCAAUAUUAAUUGAUGUGGAGAUGAAAAUCAUAUAUAAGAUAAGAAAAAAAAAUGAAAUAAUAAUUAAGAUUAAUCCAACAAUACAACAAGUUAGUUAUAAAUUUUUAAGAUUUAAUUUUUAGCAUUUGUAGUUCAUUUAAUGAAAUACCUUCCAAGACUUAUUCCAUCAAACUUAAACUCUGAAAAUUACAAAUUAGAAUAAAAUAAAAUAAAAUAAACAAUGAAUACCAUGCUAGAGUGUUAAUCUAGGGCUUUCCAUGUAAAUCAAAGUUCUACAAAGGAAGUUAUCUACAGAUGAAGUUUUGAUGACAAAACUUCACCUUGAAUUGGAAAUUCAGUAAUAAAUAGCCUUAAAUAUUUAAGUUCAGCACUAAUAUGAUAUAAAGAUUUUUAAGAUAAAAGAUGAAAUUUGGAGAACUAAAAAAUUAAAAAUAAAAAUAAAAAAUAAAAUUAAAAUUAAAGUUAGGAUUAAUAAUUAAAAUUUAAGUGAAAGUUCAAAAGAAAUAAAAGUAAAAGUUGAAGAUUAAAAGUAAAAGUUUAAGAUUAAGGUUAAAAAUAAAAGUUUAAAGUUGAAGGUGAAAAGUAAAAAUUUAAAUUUUAAGGUUAAAAAAAACAAGAAAAAAUUAAAAGAUCAGAUUAAUUUUUAUUUUAUCCUUUAGGGAUAAAAAAGGAUAGAAAGAUAAGAAUUUAAGAUUAAUUUCCAAAGUGAGGUAAAAAGUUCUUUGAAAUUAUUAAAUAAUAUUAAUUAAUGAUAAUAAGACGAAUGAGUGAUAAUAUAGCAAUUUAGGUGUUAAAGGAUGUGAUUAGAGGGUGAUUAGGGAAGGAAAACUUACUUAGAGUAUUUCAAGUUGAGGGCAGCAGAUCCCUUGUCAUUUGGAAAUUCGCCAACUUUCUUAUACAGCUCCUAUGUACCUGAAAUUUUUUAUGGUUAAGUUUGACUUAGAGUUGCUCCUAUCAACCAAAUUUCAUGGUGAUCCAAGAUUUGACGUCCGAGAUAUGUGUUUUCAAAGCAAGAUGACUUGAGCUGCCUAGGCAGCAGACCCCCUUCUACUUAAAAAUUUACUAAAAAUCGGUUAAUAGUUUAAAAAUAAUAAGUAUAAUUUUUCCAAAAACUAAACUUAAUAGAGUUCCUUUUUCAAUAAAUUUCAGCACAAAAAUGUCGGUAAGUACUAAGAUAAAUUUUUUCAAAGCUGGUUGAUCAAAACUGCUGAGGUAGCACAUCCCUUCUAUUUAAAAAUUCAAUAAAAAUUUGAUAUAGCUCGGAAAUUAGUGGUUUAAAAUUUGUAGUAAACUAAAAUUUAUAGUGCAUUCAUUUCAAUAAUUUAUAUCAAAGCUUAGUGAGAGGUCACCGAGUUAUAGAUUUUUUAAGCCAAUGCUCCUACUCUACCAAGGCAGUAGACCCCUGCCAUCUUGAAAACUCGCCAAAAAUUUGUCACAACUUCAAAUCAAGUGGGAAUCAUGUCAUUAAAAAGAUAAGAGUGAUUAGAAUUUUCUUAUGAAGUUUUACAAAAAGAAAAAAAAAAAAUAGAUUGAGCGAGUUAAAACCAAGGCCAUACAAGUUUAAAGAAGAAGAUUUGUAUUUACAAGAUGGAGGGACAUUUUGCCAUGGCUUUGCCACAAGAAGAUGGAGAGAGAGAGGGAGCUCGGCCAUCCAAGCCCUCUUAACCAAGUGGGAGGAGGCUCAAAAGUGGGAGACACAUCUCCACCAUCAAAAUCAAAAAAUCCCUAAUUAAGAUCAAGGGUCCUCAAUAACUCUCAGCCUAACCUUGAUUUCAAGGAUGGAAAUGCCUAGAACUAAAAAAUUAACACUUUUUUGGUAAAACUAACACUACAAAUGUCUCUAAAACAUAUUUUUAUCUUGAGAAUGAUUAUUCACAAGCCCAAAUCUGAAUUCUAAAUCAUAAGAACCAAUUAAUUUGCUAAUUUAGUUGUAAAUUUCAACUACAAUUCUAAUUCUUAUUAGCCUACUUGAAAAUCAGCAAGGGUUCUUGCCAUCAAAGCCUUCAUAAUCACCAUUCUUCAAAUUAAACUCCCUUAAGCAUGAACUCUUGGCAUAUCCAAAACCUAAUUGCAAAUUGGCCUUGAAUUAAUAUGCUUGUGAUUUUUUCCAAUUUUCCUUUUUUUCAACUUCAAGUAGUGAUUAAAAUCACUAUGAGAGGAAAUUCCACCAAAAAGUUUAGCUUGUGUCUAUCUUUUUAAGAUCAUCAUUAAUUUGAAAACUAGACUUUAUAUUUUUAAUCCAAUUAAAUUAUAAAAUUAAAUUUAGGCUUAAAAAUCUCAAAACUAAUUAAGAAGAUAGAAUAAUUAGAUUUAAGGAACUUUCUAACCAUAGUCAAAUUAGAAAUUAGCUUUUGGAUUGAAAAUUAAGAUUGUAGAUUAAUUUAAGAUAUAAUUCUUAAGAAUUAGAAGAGAAAUUCUACUAAAAUUAUAGUUUUAUUACUAAAAAAAAGAUAUAAAGUAAUUCAAGAAAAAAAAUCAUAGACCUUUUAAAUUUACUAUUUUUUCUUUUAAAUUUUAAAAUAGUCAAUCAAUAUACUAAUUAAAAAUAUCCAUCUAAUUAAAAACCUAAAGAUAUGAUCAAAAUCACAAUCAACUAAAAAACUAAUUUAGAUCUAUUAACUAGUUAUAUUACCUAUUAACUAGUUAUAUUUUAAAAUAGUCAAUUAAUAUACCAAUUAGAAAUAUCUAUCUAAUUAAAAACCUAAAGAUAUGAUCAAAGUCACAAUCAACUAAAAAACUAAUUUAGAUCUAUUAAGUAGUUAUAUUAGCAUUAAAAUUAGUAAAAAACUAUUAAAAAUUACAAAAUAAAUUGUAAUUAAUCAUUGAAGCUUUUGAUUAUGCUUACAAUAGGUCUUCUUAGCUAUUUAUAGUAUCUCAUACUAGAAAAAAAAGGCCACAUUAUUAUAUAAUUGUUGUUGAGGCUUUUAUAACUUCCUUCAAAUACAACAUUUGAAAUACCAUGAUGAGUCGUUCCUACUUCUAAUAAAAUCACCAAACAUUGAAGGUCUCAAUUAAGGUCGUAUUAUCAAACACAUUAUCAUAUGGCAUAAUUUUCUAUUUGGAAAUACAUUGAGUACCUAAUUUUAGAGAAUUUAGCUUUAAUUUAAUGGACAAGUUCCAAUAAAUGAUGCAUUUUUAUUAUAGAAGCCAAAUAAAUAUAAUAGUAUCAAAAAAUAUUUUAUUAAUAAAAAUUCUUUUAUAUUUAAGAAAUAUUAUACAUAAGACUUUUUAAAGUAUCCAAAAGUACCUGUCACAGACACAGAAAUAUAGACUCGAGAUCUAACAAGAAGUUCAGGAAGAACUGACAAGAACUAGAUUAAUCAGAUGAGGAUAACACCAGAGAGGUGAACUAGAACUCCAAGAGAUGUAUUGUCGAGACUGAAGAACUCUUCAGCUUCGAUUCCAAUAUGUACUUCUAUUUAGGAAGCUUCUCAAGUAACUUCUACCAACUAAGAAGCUUCUAGAAGGUUCUAGAGACUUGUUUCUAGAAGGUUCUAGAAACUUAUAUCUAGAAGGUUCUAGAAACUUAUAUCUAGAAGGUUCUAAGGAAUAUGUUUCUAAUAUCUUCUACCAACUAAGAAGCUUCUAGAAGGUUCCAAAGACUUGCUUCUAGAAGGUUCUAGAAACUUGUCUCUAGAAGGUUCUAAGGAUUAUGUCUCUAACAUCACCCUCUCCUUUAGCUUCGAGGUCUCUGAGAAGCAAUGUUGUUGAUCAGUACCAACACAAAAAAAUGAAGAUCUGUCAUAUAAUGUCUGCUAUGAAUUCCAACUGUUGUUUACGAGGCAAGUGGUUCAUCGGCCCUUGAAGCCAAUGGAAGUGGCCCACUCUUUCUACUUCUGACCAAGCAUGAACUUUCGUGUCCUCAUUGUGAAAUUGUCCUGCAAACAUGCCUUCUGGUUGACCAUCAUAAGUAGGCUCGGACUCAAAUACAAUCACCAGUGAUCGAUUACUCGGUAUCCUCCGUCGUCAUCAUGGUGUAGGCGGUUCUUCAUUUCGAGGUCGCCUUCGUGAACUAGUCGGUUGAGAUAAUCUGACUGACAUAGUAUCUAUUUCUUGGCUAUCCAUAUCAGAAGACCAAACUAUGGCUACUGAAAAAAUUCUAUUUUAUGUUGGAGAAAAUAACUACAUCAACUACGAAUUUUGGUGGUGCUCUCUCCCUUUCUUAUAUUCUUGGGUGAGCAAGCUUCAGAAAGAAGCUAUCGUCGAACUGGCUUAAGUUUAUGAGGAUGUUGUUGAUGAAACUCCUGUACCUUUUGUGACGCAUUGGCAAGAUUUUCAACUGGCUCCCACGUUCGCUCAUUAAUGUCGUAGCUGCACCAAUGAACAAGAUACUCCAACUUGCCUCACCUUUGCCUUGAAUCCAGUAUCUUUUCAACCUCGUAUUCCUCGUGGUUCUCGAUCUCAAUACUAGGUGGCGGACAUUGUACUCUUCCAGGAAAAGACGACUCUCGAUAAGGCUCUAAUAGAGAAACAUGAAAGACUGGAUGUACCUUCAUAGAAGCUGGUAAUUCCAGAUGAUACGCCACUGGAUUGAUUUGCUUCUGGAUGAUAAAUGGUCCCAAUCUUCGAUAGUCCAACUUAUCACAUUGUCGCUUGGUCUUGAUAUUCUGUCGAAGAAGCCAUGCUUUAUCUCCAAUUUUGAAAGUAGGUGCUUGAUUCCGAAAUCUAUCUUCAGAUGCCUUAUAGGAUUCUUGAGCGGAUUGUAAUUGAAGCUUCAACAUAUUUUGAAGCUCUGAUAGUUGUUUCGCAAAUCUUUCAGCUGCUGGAUUGUUAUUUGUUGACGGACUCAAUAAAUCAAGCUUCGGAUGAUACCCAUAGUUGGAAAAGAAUGGUGUGUAUUGAGUCGACGCAUAGAGGGUGUUGUUAUAUGUAAACUCGGCUAGCGGUAGAUAUGUGGUCCAAUUGUCUUGUUGAUAGUUGAUACUACAUCGUAAAUAUUGUUCCAAGACUUGGUUCACCCGUUCUAUUUGGCCGUCAAUUUGAGGAUGAAAAGCCGAAGAAAGCUUGAUAUCCACCUUCAGUAUCUCAAAGAGAGAUCUCCAAAACUUUGAUACGAAUUGGGUUCCUCAAUAUGAUACGACAUCAUCUAGUAGUCCAUGAUAUCGAUACACAUUAUCGAGAAAGAGCCUUGCUGUGACUUCACUAGACGAUGUCUUCUUGCAAGGAAUAAAGUGUGCCAUCUUCGUAAGCCGAUCUAUCACGAUAAAGAUGCUGUCAAAUGAGCUCGAUGAUAGAAGGUCCGUGAUGUAGUCCAUGGAAACUAAAGACCAUGAUCGACGUGGAAUCGGUAAUGGCUGUAGGAGUCCAUAAGGGCGAUGCCGAAGAUUCUUGAAUCUUGAACAGAUGUCAUAGGAGAGGACAAAAUCUUUCACAUCCUUCCACAUUUGAUGCCACCAAAAAUCUUGAGAAAUAAGCUCCAAGGUCUUUUUGAAUCCAAAAUGUCCCCUAGCUGGAAAAUUGUGGCGAGAUUGAAGAACUCGAAGUCAUGCUGGUCCUUUUGGGAUAUACAAUCACUCCUCAAAGUAUAAAAGAUCUCCCUCCACCUUGAAUUUUUCAUCAUUGGCAUGCUGCUUGAUAUCAAUGGCUACUGAAUCUUUAAUGGUCGCGGCACGUACCUGUUUCAAGAAGUCAGCAUCAAUUGGCACAAUAGUAGCGCAAAGCUGAAAUUGCUCUGGCUUCAAUAAUAUCAUACAUUAUUGAUCAAACGCUGCUUCUCCAGCCUUUGGUAUAAGAUAUGAUCUCCUCGAUAAGGCAUCAGAUAGUCCUUGCUACUUUCCAAGUCAAUAAAUGAUAACAAAAUCGAACCUAGAUAGUAACAUACUCCACCGAGCUUGAUGUCGAUUUAGAACUCGAGCCGACAUGAAAUACUCCAAAUUCUUGUGAUCUGUGUAUACGAUCACUAGUUGUGCAGUUCUUUCAAGAAAAUGAUGCCAUUCUUGGAAAGAAUCCACUAUAGCAAGAAGUUCCUUAUCGUGGAUCUCAUAAUUGAUUUCAGUAGCAGAGAACUUUCGAGAAUAGAAUGCAAUCAAAUGAAACUUCUUGUCUUCUCCCAUUUGUGAAAGUACAGCUCCCAAAGCAAAAUCCGAAGCAUCAAUUUCUAAAUAAAAGGCCUUUGUAAAGUCUAGAUGUACCAAGAUUGGAGCCGUAGUAAAUGCAAUUUUUAGGUCUUGAAACGCCUUCUCCGCUAGAGGUUCCUAUUCCAGCUUUUCUUUGCAUAUCAACCGAGUGAGAGGAGCAGCAACUUGAGAAUAAUUCUUGAUGAAGAUCCGAUAGAAGUUGGCAAAGCCAAGAAAGCAUUGUACAUCUCUUACCGUCUUCGGAACCUCCCAAGACACGAUUGCUUCCACCUUCUUGGGGUCCAUCUUCAAGCCUUCUAUAGUCGCAACGAACCCCAAAAACUCCAUCUCUAUUUGGUGAAAUAAAUACUUCUCCAACUUGGCAUAUAGUCCUCGCUCGCAUAGUUUCUCCAAGACCAAACGAAUGUGCUUUUCAUGCUCUUCCUCAUUUUUGGAGAAUAUCAAAAUAUCAUCCAAAUAGAUGACAACAAAAUCGUCAAGGUACUCUCGAAAAAUAUCAUUCAUCAUAUGUUGAAAGACCGUUGGAGCAUUGGUAAGACCAAAAGACAUGACAUUAUACUCAAAAUGGCCAUACCUUGUAUGAAACGCUGUCUUCCACUCAUCUCCUUCAUUGAUUCGUACGAGUUUGUAAGCUCUCCUUAGAUCAAUUUUUGUAAAAAUCCUUGCACGUCUAAGUUGUUCUAUGAGACCAGAAAUCAAGGAUAACGGGUAACGAUUCUUCUUUGUUAUCUUGUUGAGGCCUCGAUAGUCCACGCACAUCCGCAAUGAGCCAUCUUUCUUCUUCACAAAUAAGAUGGGUGCUCUAGCUGACGAUUUUGAAUGACGGAUAAAGUUCUUGGCUAGAUUCUCGUCGAUGUACUUCCGCAACUCCGCCAACUUCGUCUACGAUAGAUUGUAGAUUGGGCCAAAAGGUGGUUGUGCUCCUUCCUGUAAGUCUAUGGCGCAAUCAUAUGGUCUGUGUUCUGGUAGCAUGUCGGCAUUUUUUUUUUGAAACACAUCUUUAAAAUCCUUAUAUUGCUCCGGUAUACUUAUUGUUGAGAUCUUCUCCUCGGUAGUUGAAGUCGCAUAAAUGACAAAAGAUGUGCCUUCCUUGGACGAUCUUAUAAACACUCUUACUCUAAUAAAUAAGGAUUUCUCUAUUCGAGGUUUUCUACUAGGCUUACUCUUGGGUGGUUUUGUGGGAAAGGUCAUCUUCCACAACUUCCAAUCUAUGGAUGGAUUAUACUUUUCCAACCAAGAAAGACCAAGAAUAACAGGAUUUGAUGGAGUUCUAGUAAUAUUAAAAAUAAUAUGACUACUAUGGCCCUUAAAUAUCACUUCUAUAGGUUCUGAUUUAUGGGUGAUACUACCAAACAAUAAAGGUCGCCCAUCUAUGACCUGAACAUUAACAGGUUUGGAUUUUUAUACUAAAGGGAUCUUAUGAUGCUUUGCAAAUUCUUCGUCUAAGAAACAAGCAGGUGCUCCUGAAUCUAAUAAUGCUAAGGUUCUCAGUUUCUGAAGGCCAAUAAGCAAAGGAAUUGUAAAAUAAAGGGCAGGUUGAGCGAAAAGAAAGGAGCCUCGUUGUUGUUGCAAUAUUUCAUUGUCCAGCCGCAUGGUUCCUAUUGUGGCUGGGCAUCCUCGUUUUCCUGAAUAAAUGUGCCCCUAGUCUUGACAAUACGUCGAUUUUGCUUCUUGGGACAGUUUCCAACUUUGUGGCCUUCUUCACCGCAAUACAAGCAUAGAUCUUCCUCCAUAAAUCGCUUUUUUUCUUCUAGAGUAAGGGAUUUGACUCGUACCGCAUCAAUUUGCAUGUCUUCUACCUCUGAAUAUGAAUUCACGCUGCUUGCCUACAUAGUUGGGGCAUGGCAAAUCGUAUGUUGUCUUGAACGUUGAUCUUGGCGGCGUUGAAAUAGGUAAUUAUCGCACUUCAUAGCUUGGCUAAUAGUUUCGUUGAGGGUUUGUGGAUCAAGAAGAGUUAACAACAAAUCCUUCACAUCGUCCCUUAAACCCCAAUAGAAUUGACUCAUCAAUGCUUCUUCAUCCCAAUUGAUGUCGCAUGCUAAUUGCCUGAAGUCCGAUGCAUAGACUGAUGUAGAGCGCAUCCCUUGUCGUAGUGACCGGAUCUUUGUUGUAGCCCAUCGAACCUUGUCAUGUUCACCAAAUGCUUACGCAAACGCCUCCAAAAAGGUUUCAAAGUUGUUUAGUAUGGACGAUUGUUUCUCAAACAAAGGAGCAAACCAUGAUAGAGCUUGUCUUGUAAGUAAGGUUCCAACAAGCCCAACACGUGACUCCUCCGUUGGAUAGCGUUCGGGCUGUAAAACUGUUAUCAACCUGAUUUGGUUGACGAAUCCUUGAAACUUGGAACGCUGUCGUAUUACGUGCUUUUUUGCUCGAGAACGCGCCGGGCGUCUGGCUGUAGAAGGUAGUAUGGAGAUUUACCGAUAGUCAAGCAGUCUAUCAGUUUUUGACUGCUGGAAUAUAAACGACUGCAAUAAUGUACCGUAAAUCUAAACGGAUGCUCUUCGACUGCUUGUCGAAGUCUUUUUUUUUUUUUUUUUUUUUUUUUUUCCAACCGAUAGGUCUCUAGACGUUACAGAGAACCCCGAACAACCCAAACUGUUAAUCUUCAGUACCCCUUUGUACUUACAAUCUUGUAUCCACUGACUGUCUUGUUAGAUUAACCCAAUAAAUUUCAUUCACUCCGCAUACUCAAUCCUAUAGACACCCCUUUAAUCCUUCAAUCACAGACGUAACUCGAUUUUACAAAACAGUCAAGAGUAUUCAAAUCCACUUCAUUUAAAAAUCCCGAUUCACCAUUACAACACUGACUUCAGCAACGAUUGCCUCAGUCUUCCCAAAACUCUACGAAGAAGAAAAAUCCAAAUUCUAUGUCUUUCCUUCCCCGACCCGAAGCAUGAAGCUCCUCUCUCUAAUUCCCUUGAUCUUCCAAAAACCUCCAGUGAAAAACCGAACUGGUAACCUUGCAAAAGCUUGAAAACUCGCUCCCCUCCCGAUUUCCCCGAAAAAAAACCUCCCCCCUCAAAACUAUAUCCCCCCCUAACCUUAUCCUCUGAAUUUCUUCAAUCUUCUGUCAUAGAUCCGGAAUUGGCUCCCACCUCAAGCUUGGAGCCGAAAUUGGCUCUCGCCGUCAAGCUUUCUCCUCCGUUUUUACCUUUAAGAAAUCCAUUUACCGAAAACAACGUUCCCUGAAACGGCACAGAGAACAGGACAGCCUGAAACAGAAUCGAACCCCGUAAUCGGGACCACAUUGAGUCGCCCGACCAAUUCAGGUCCUAUAUUGGGAAAGAUGCCCGUAGUAACCUGGAUGUUCCCGUAAUUGGGUCAAAUUGGUCCUCGCGUCAGAUUGGCUAAGACCCGUAGUAAGACCUGGAUUUCCCGUAAUUAGACUGCAUUGGGUUGACCGGCCAAUUCAGGUCUCAUAUUGGAUAAGAGGACCUGGAUUGGAUUAUCGAAAUUGGAUCCAAUUGGCUCCUCGAACCCGUCGUAUGAAUUGGUCCUUCUCUUCCUGCUGACUCCCGUUAUUGGAAUCGAACGGAGCAUUUCAGUAUGCCCUGGCUGACUGUAACGGAGUGACUAAACCUGACCACUCAGUAUUUGUACUGGAGUUGGUUGAUGCUCCCAAUAUUCGAGGUAACUGAAUAUUAAUAAAAUUCCCCUUUCUUUUUAUUUUCACUGUAUACUCGUGUUACAACACGACAUCCACCCCCUCUGAACCUGUGCAUCCUCCGGUAUGCACCAAUUUACCCAAUUGCUGUUUGAUUCAGAAUAUAUCCCCUACGUCUUUGUCCAGUUCGUCUUGGUCACCUUCAUUAUCCAUAUCACUUUCAUCUUCUUGCUGCGGAAUCUCUAUACCUUCAUUAAGGUCUUCCAUAUUCAUCUCUGCGUGUCUUCGUUUAAAUAUUUUUACUCGCUUCCCUGCAAUUGGUAUUUUCAAUUUUGUACCAUCUAACUCCCGUAAUGAGUAAGUUGCAUUAUCAUGAACAGUUGUUAUAACAUAUGGUCUAAACCAACGUUUUGAAAAUUUCCGCAAAGUACUAUGUUGAUUAUCCAGACUAUUGUCAUAAACAAGUACCCAGUCACCUUCCUCGAUUGCUUUUGGUCUCAAUCGAUGUUGCUUAUCGAAUCGUGCCUUGUUUUGUAACCUUGCUCUUUUUAACCUUUCCAAUGCUAUCUGGACAUCUUCCGUUCUUUGCUCCAACUGUCGAAUCCUAAUAGCCAGAAGUUCUUCUCUUGUCAAUCCAUCUUCCCAUGGUAGCAUACUCCAAGUAAGUACCUUUUCUUCAAUCGGCAUAAUUGGUUUUUGACCUGUCAUAAGUUCUACUGGCAUAUAUCCUGUCACCAAACUAUGUGUUGUUCGAUCAGCCCAUAAUGCAAAUGACAAAAGCCGUGGCCACUCUUUAACCUUCCCAUUACAAGCUUUAACCAAUGCUUUCACAAUCGGCGGGUGACCGCGUUCGCUUUUCGCAUUCCCUUUCGGAUUAUAAGUAGUAGUCAGUGAUAGUUUAACUCCACAUUUUUCAAAGAACUUACGAGCUUCUUGUGCAUUUAAUUCUCCACGAUCUGCAGUGAUUUUUCCUACGCACCCGUAACGGCAAAUGACAUCUUCAAGCAAAAACCUACAAAUCCCCUCUGUAGAUUUNNNNNNNNNNNNNNNNNNNNNNNNNNNNNNNNNNNNNNNNNNNNNNNNNNNNNNNNNNNNNNNNNNNNNNNNNNNNNNNNNNNNNNNNNNNNNNNNNNNNNNNNNNNNNNNNNNNNNNNNNNNNNNNNNNNNNNNNNNNNNNNNNNNNNNNNNNNNNNNNNNNNNNNNNNNNNNNNNNNNNNNNNNNNNNNNNNNNNNNNNNNNNNNNNNNNNNNNNNNNNNNNNNNNNNNNNNNNNNNNNNNNNNNNNNNNNNNNNNNNNNNNNNNNNNNNNNNNNNNNNNNNNNNNNNNNNNNNNNNNNNNNNNNNNNNNNNNNNNNNNNNNNNNNNNNNNNNNNNNNNNNNNNNNNNNNNNNNNNNNNNNNNNNNNNNNNNNNNNNNNNNNNNNNNNNNNNNNNNNNNNNNNNNNNNNNNNNNNNNNNNNNNNNNNNNNNNNNNNNNNNNNNNNNNNNNNNNNNNNNNNNNNNNNNNNNNNNNNNNNNNNNNNNNNNNNNNNNNNNNNNNNNNNNNNNNNNNNNNNNNNNNNNNNNNNNNNNNNNNNNNNNNNNNNNNNNNNNNNNNNNNNNNNNNNNNNNNNNNNNNNNNNNNNNNNNNNNNNNNNNNNNNNNNNNNNNNNNNNNNNNNNNNNNNNNNNNNNNNNNNNNNNNNNNNNNNNNNNNNNNNNNNNNNNNNNNNNNNNNNNNNNNNNNNNNNNNNNNNNNNNNNNNNNNNNNNNNNNNNNNNNNNNNNNNNNNNNNNNNNNNNNNNNNNNNNNNNNNNNNNNNNNNNNNNNNNNNNNNNNNNNNNNNNNNNNNNNNNNNNNNUCAACAACCCAUUUAAAAUGAAUAGCCAGAGGAUACGUAGGAUGAAGACCAUCUCAAUGUCAGAUAUUAGAAUACGAUUGACAGAUUUCACAUGACUCUACAAAUGAGAGCACAUCUCGAUACAUAUUUUUCCACCAAUAUCGUUCCUUGAGUUUAUUAAAAGUAGCCCAGAUUCCUCUAUACCCUGCCCAUAAACUAUCAUGAAACUCCUUUAAUAAUUUUAGUUUUUCUUCCCUUUUGCCUAUCACUCGUUGUAGCAUCCCAAUUCCUUUCUUCGGUCUCUUCCAUAAGAAUCCAUCUCGAAGUAAAAAUCCAUAUGCUUUUUUUCUUAUUUGUUUGAAUUUUUCUGUAGACCAAUUCCCCUGCUUAGACAAGGUAUUCAAAUAACGACCAAUAUCCAAUAAUUCUCCUUCAUAAGAUUCUUCAAGAAAUAACUUGUCUUCUCUGUUGAGAUUCGAUAUUGAAUAGAAUUUCAAUCCGACAUCAUCAAUGUCUUCAACCAUUUCGUCUUCCCUCUCGUAUCUUGCUCGAGAUAGCAUGUCUGCUACUAAAUUGUCCUUUCCAGUGAUAUGCUUAAAUUCUGGAUUUAGUGACUUAAUAUAAGCAAUCCAUCUCAACAUUGCAAUAUCUGGCGUUGAACAGUUAAUAAUCAUUCCAAGCAAUGGCAAGCAAUCUGUUUCAAUUACUACUACUGCCCCAAUCAAAUAGUCCUUUUCAGCUUUCAUAGCCGAAACGACUCCCCAAAGUUCUCUUUUGACUUGCAAAUAUGCACGCUGACGAAUACUUAAAACUUUAGCCCCAAAUCGAACUGCAAAUCUACUCCCAUUCGAAUCAUCUUGACCCACCGCCCAUCCAACGGCAAUUGGACUAGCGUCUACAGUAAGAAUCACUGGUCUAUUGCACUUAUAAUCAACCUUCCUCAAUAUUGGAGGUGAUAUCAAUAAUUUCUUCAAUCUUUGCAUUGCCUGAAUAUGCCUUUCUUUCCAUUCAAAUCAGUAACCCUUGCGUAACAGUUCAUAUAAUGGAUCCGCUAUGUGAGCAAAAUGAGGGAUCCAGAUUCGAUAAAAUACACAUGCACCCAAAAACCUGCGAACCUCUGUUAAAGAACCACAAUCCUCUUUCAUCCUUCCAAUUGCAUCAACUUUAGUCGGAUCUGGUUUUCUUCCGUAAGAUCCGCAUAAAUGUCCAACAAUUACAACCUCUCGCACUCCAAAUACGGACUUCAUACCCGAUAAUGUAAGAUGAACUUCUCCAAGCCGAGUUAAAAUCUUUUCACAAUCUUGUAUAUGAUCAACAACAUAUCUGCGACACCCCCUCGUAUCUAAAGUUUCAUCCUUGUCUCCUUCUCUGCACCCUUUUAUAGGAACAUCAUUCAGAAAAGGCAUAGUCUUUUCCGGAAUAAAAUCUCUCAAUACCUUAUUCAUCCCAUUCAUCAUAUGCGCAACCGAGUUGGUCGCGCCUUGAGGAAGAGUGCACAUUCUAACCAAUCCAAGCGGUGUCCUCAUCGUUGUCAUAUCUCUACUUCCUUCGGCAAGUUGAAAUUGAUCAUAACCUGAAUACAAAUCACCCAUUGAAUAGAUCGCCCUUCCAGCAAACGCCUCAGCAAAUUCAUCCACAAUAGGUCCAAUUCAUGCAUUCCUGACAGUUACAGCAUUCACCGGCUGCAUAUCUUGAAUAAACCGUAGUGACCCAUUCUUCUUAGGUACCGUAAACCAUCGACUAGAAUACGGCGCAAAUGAAGGUUCUAAUAUUUUCAUCUUUAUCUUUUCUUUUAAUAGUUCGACCAAUUUAGGUAAAUGUGCCCUCGGUACUGGAAUCGGUCUUAGAUUCCAAGGUACAUGCGGUACAGUGAAGAUAACCAUAGGUGUUAUAAUAUUUGGAUCCACACACCCAAUUUCAUGAGAUUUGAAGGCAAACGAUCUACCUUGUUUAGCCAACAUCUUUUUGAAGCAAGUAAUUUCCUCCGGCAAUAAAGAACCAUCAGAACCAAUCUUCAAUUCUUCAAAAGUUUCUUCAGUAAACUGAUGUCCAAUACUCAUUGGAUCUCUUAAACUUGCUUCUUUUGAUGCUUCUCCCAUUUGUUCUUUAGAAUCCUCUGGUAAUGGUCCGGCAACAGGCUUUACCUUCUUAUCUGCCGUUUUAUAUCUCGUCUCUACUGUGACUUCUAGUGCUUGAAAAGAUUCAAGCAUGGUAUAAACCUCUCUCAAAUGAAUCUCAACAAUCUUAUCAUUAUCCCCUAACCCAAUAGAUGUAAUCAAUUCCAAUGAAUCUUCCAGCCCAUUUUCUUCAUAAACACCCAAAAUCCUCUCAUCAUCUUGCAAUGUACCUAUCUUGCGUAAUUAUCCUUCAAUAUCAUAUAAUCUUUUUUUUUCUUUUCUUUUAAAAUCAUCAACUUUCUUAUACAUAAUAUUUCCAUUCUCCAAUAUACCAAUAAAACUCGCAUCAAAGGCACCUUCAUCUCGCGAGAGUACCUCCUCUUUUGUACCUCCAUAAUCUCGCUUUACAGUGGUACCUCCCCAAAAUCCUUAAAUCCUUCAACAUCUUUGGCAUGGUUUCUCCCUCAACCUAUCUCGAUUCCGUUCAUGGUUAGGAGGUACUGUUAGAAAUUGUACAGCUUUCCUCCCAUCUUCGCUCCGUACCCUUGCAUAAGGAGAACCAUCGUCAAGUACCUUUGUUUCCAUCCGUGUUGCCGUGAUAUAAGGUUGUCCUAAAAUCAACGGAUAAGACGUUGUAUCUUGAACGAAGAAAUGUUGCUCCGUCGCAACAUCCCCAAUCCGAAUUUUGACAUCUGGAUAAGCUCCAUAUACUUCGCCUCGUGUGUUAUUAGUUGCUCGUAUUGCCCAUCCAUGUUCCAUAUCAAUUGGCCAUUUUUGCUUCUUAUAAAGAUCUUUAGACAUGAGAUUUAUUUCAGAACCAUGGUCCACCAAGGCAACUAUUGGUUCUUCUAUAUCUCCUACCUUGACCAAUACCUCAGUAGUUGCCCUUGUCCAAUGCUUUUGAGUAUAAUGGCUCAAAGUUUCCAUUUCCUUGUCACUAGAAUCUUCGAAACAUACUCGCUGAUUAUACCCAUUCUUUUCAUUUGUUGGUUGCUUGUAACCAAUAUCAACCUCUUCUUCAUCUCUACAUAUUCUUGCAUCAAUAGCAUGACUCAUUCCAGUUUUGCUCAUUAAUUGCCUCUUUCGCUUAAUGCUAUCAAUGAUAACAUCAUGAAACUCCUUCUUUGCAAUUCCCAAGACUUCUUUCAAUGUGAAUUCCACCUUAGCAUUUAAUAUACGUUCUUCCAACACCCCUUUCAAAUUUGUUGCCGCUUCAAUGUCAGAAAGUAGCUUAUAAGCAAUUGAUUUGCCCUUAUCUUUUGUCUCCGUUGUUUUUUCUCCCAAUGAUACUGAGGUAUCCUUUACAGGCAAUUCUUGUGAAGCUGCCUCCCGAGCCUUGUCUCCUCGAGUUUGCCUCUUAAAAGAAUUUCCUUCUCUAGUAUCAUCAAAAUUUCCUCGUCUUUUUUCUUCCAUCAAAGCUUCAUGUUGGCUCUUAGCAAUAUAUGCAUGAACUGAAAGAGACUCAACAAGAUCCUCCCAACCUGUUCUUCCUCGUAUUGUAGCUGCAGUUCUCAAUAACGCUUCUCGAGGUAAUUUUCCUUCUUGCAUUGUAGAAACGGCAGAAGCCCAAAACUCACUAGUUUCCGUACUUCCACCAAUUUCAUCAUCUACUUUAGCACCAUAACUUGUACUUUCUCGUACUACUGUUUCAUGUUCUUUUAAGUAAUCUUGAACCAAUGCUCUCAUUCCUCUCUUGCCAAAAUUGGUUUGAAGAAGAUCCUCUCUAUCUUUCAAUGCUAUCUUCCCAUCUUUCCAGCAAAUAAUUCCCUGCCAUAUCAUAUUAUUAAAUUCAUUGCAAUCUUUUCUAGUGUGUGAAGCAUCAUCACACCAAAUGCAUCUUUGUACAUAUCCUUGUUUUGAAACAUUCUUCGAAUUGUUUAUAGAAGUAUUCUCUUCAAGUCUUGUCAAUUUGAUUUGAAGAUCUCGCAUUCCUCGUAUAAUUUCUUCCAUACCCAUAUCUGCUUUCUUUGAUAAGGAUGUCGAAGGUUGAACUGUAGGCAUUGUCGGUGGUGUUGUACGUAUUGGAGCUUUGGAUGCUUGUACUGUUUUCGGACUAUUGCUCCUAUCCUUCCUCCUUUCUUUUUUUGUAAGCAACCCCACUGCAUCUUUCACGUCCUUCCACUUCGUUGUCAANNNNNNNNNNNNNNNNNNNNNNNNNNNNNNNNNNNNNNNNNNNNNNNNNNNNNNNNNNNNNNNNNNNNNNNNNNNNNNNNNNNNNNNNNNNNNNNNNNNNACUUUGUUCGGCUCCAAUGUCAAUUUUUCUACCUUCGAUAAUUGAGAGUACUGCCUCUCAAAUUCCCUUAGUAGCUCUGUUGCUUGCAAAUUCUUAUUGGGCCGUUCAAUCCAUCCCAGAAACAGCUUCUUAGUAAUGCAAUCAGCAUCUUCCAAGAAAUAUUCGUCUUUCAAUGCAUGUAAAAAAUCCUCCCAUGAAUUCCCACAACGAUCCGUAAUCGAUGUAAUGUGGUCCCUUAUCUCCGGUAUCGUGGCAAGUCCAAAUAGUGCAACCAUUUUCUUCUUAGAAACCCGAUUUAAUUCCAUUUCACGAACAUAACAUCUUAAAUACCUUGAAAUAUUCCUCCCAUCAAAUUGAUCAAUUUUACUGACCACUGCUUGCAAUGCUUUGGUUGCCAAAGCUUCCUUUCGAUCAUUGCUUUGCUGUUGCUGCAUUGACAAUGAGAAGGCUUGAAACAAACUAGCAAUAGAUGGAUCCAUGUGCAUACCUUGUCCUUUAGAAGACUCCCUACCAGAAACUUCUCCCAAAAAUCCUUCAAAAUUUUUAUUUUCGUUUUCCAUAAAAAUAAAGAUAAAAUCAACCGAAAUCCAAUACCUUCUACCUCAAGCUUUCACGUCGGGUUCACCACUUAUGUCGUAUUACGUGCUUUCCUGCUCGAGAACGCGCCGGGCGUCUGGCUGUAGAAGGUAGUAUAGAGAUUUGCCGAUAGUCAAGCAGUCUAUCAGUUUUUGACUGCUGGAAUAUAAACGACUGCAACAAUGUACCGUAAAUCUAUACGAAUGCUCUUCGACUGCUUGUCGAAAUCUUCUUCUUUUUUUUUUCUUUUUUUUUUUUUUUUUCCAACCGAUAGGUCUCUAGACGUUACAGAGAACCCCGAACAACCCAAACUGUUAAUCUUCAGUACCCCUUUGUACUUACAAUCUUGUAUCCACUGACUGUCUUGUUAGAUUAACCCAAUAAAUUUCAUUCACUCCGCAUACUCAAUCCUAUAGACACCCCUUUAAUCCUUCAAUCACAGACGUAACUCGAUUUUACAAAACAGUCAAGAGUAUUCAAAUCCACUUCAUUUAAAAAUCCCGAUUCACCAUUACAACACUGACUUCAGCAACGAUUGCCUCAGUCUUCCCAAAACUCUACGAAGAAGAAAAAUCCAAAUUCUAUGUCUUUCCUUCCCCGACCCGAAGCAUGAAGCUCCUCUCUCUAAUUCCCUUGAUCUUCCAAAAACCUCCAGUGAAAAACCGAACUGGUAACCUUGCAAAAGCUUGAAAACUCGCUCCCCUCCCGAUUCCCCCGAAAAAAAACCUCCCCCCUCAAAACUAUAUCCCCCCCUAACCUUAUCCUCUGAAUUUCUUCAAUCUUCUGUCAUAGAUCCGGAAUUGGCUCCCACCUCAAGCUUGGAUCCGAAAUUGGCUCUCGCCGUCAAGCUUUCUCCUCCGUUUUUACCUUUAAGAAAUCCAUUUACCGAAAACAACGUUCCCUGAAACGGCACAAAGAACAGGACAGCCUGAAACAGAAUCGAACCCCGUAAUCGGGACCACAUUGAGUCGCCCGACCAAUUCAGGUCCUAUAUUGGGAAAGAUGCCCGUAGUAACCUGGAUGUUCCCGUAAUUGGGUCAAAUUGGUCCUCGCGUCAGAUUGGCUAAGACCCGUAGUAAGACCUGGAUUUUCCGUAAUUAGACUGCAUUGGGUUGACCGGCCAAUUCAGGUCUCAUAUUGGAUAAGAGGACCUGGAUUGGAUUAUCGAAAUUGGAUCCAAUUGGCUCCUCGAACCCGUCGUAUGAAUUGGUCCUUCUCUUCCUGCUGACUCCCGUUAUUGGAAUCGAACAGAGCAUUUCAGUAUGCCCUGGUUGACUGUAACGGAGUGACUGAACCUGACCACUCAGUAUUUGUACUGGAGUUGGUUGAUGCUCCCAAUAUUCGAGGUAACUGAAUAUUAAUAAAAUUCCCCUUUCUUUUUAUUUUCACUGUAUACUCGUGUUACAACACGACAAUGCGUACCAUCAAACUUAUCCGGAAGGCUAACUCGGGGCUCCUUAUGUUGUAGAACCAGCGGUGCUUGUCGAACCUGAGGCAAAGUUGCUUCUCCAAGUGCAUAAGUUUGAGGCUGGUGCAACCUAGAUUGUGCCAUCCCAGAUGCUCCAUCAUUAUGAAGCCUUGCCACGGCUCCUUCAAUCUCUGCAGUUCUUUGCAAUAACGUAGCGAGGGCAUUCAUGAUAGCAUUCAACUUAGACUCUGAACUUUCCGUCAUACUAAUGUCUUGGCCCCCGGCCAUUCUAAGAGAACGACAGAAAUGACUCUACAAGAAGACAAUAUUGGUUUAGAGGAGGGUACUUCGCAAUCUCUAAAAUGCCUUAAAAGCUUCAAGAAAAAGAGAUAAUCCACUCUCUCCAAGAAGAAUAAGAUUCCAAUAUUGUAACAAAAGAAGUAUCAGUUUAGAGGAAGGUAAUCCGCAACCUCUAAAAUGCUAGUACACUUCCAAGCAAAGGGAUAAUCUACAUUCUAACAAAGAAGAAACUAGCUCUGAUAUCUAAGGUGAGUGCAGUCUCGACAAACUAUCACGGACACAGAAAUACAGACUCGAGAUCUAACAAGAAGUUCAAGAGGAAUUGACAAGAACUAGAUUAAUCACAUGAGAACAACACCAGAGAGGUGAGCUAGAACUCCAAGAGGUGUGUUGUCGAGACUCAAGAACUCUUCAGCCUCGAUUCCAAUAUAUACUUCUAUUUAGGAAGCUUCUCAAGCAACUUCUACCAACUAGGAAGCUUCUAGAAGGUUCCAAAGACUUGCUUCUAGAAGGUUCUAGAAACUUAUUUCUAGAAGGUUUCUAAGGACUAUGUCUCUAAUAUCUUCUACCAACUAAAAGCUUCUAGAAGGUUCUAGAGACUUGCUUCUAGAAGGUUCUAGAAACUUGUCUCUAGAAGGUUCUAAGAAUUAUGUCCCUAACAAUACCUUAACAUCUUUUUCUAUGCAAAAUUAUAACUAUUUGCCAAUAAAUUUGUUUUCCUAUAAGUUCAAAGAAAAUCCAUAAUCUUCUUAUAAAUAUCCAUCUUUAUAUCGUAAUUUUUCUAUAGCUCUAUAUCUCCAUCAUAAACAUAUAUAUAAAGCCUUAGGUCUGAAAAACCCCUUUAGUUUGCAUAAAAUAUCCAAAUUAUCGCAAAAUCCUUUCAAAAUAUUUUUCUCCUGUAAAAGAUUUUUUUCUCUUUAAACUUUAAAAAUUCAUAUCUCUCGAUUAAAUUUUUUAUUUUUUUCAAAUUUCUAGAUAAUAUAGAAUUCAAUCUUAAAUUUUAUCACAAAAAAAUAAAUUAUAAAUCUUUUAUAAAUUUUCUAAUAUUUUAGAAACCCUAGUAAGUACUUUAAAUCGUAAUUUAUAAGCAUCCAAAGUUUAUUUUCUUCAUAUUUCAAAAAUCAAAACUCCAAAUAUUAAAAAAUUUAUGUAUAAAAUUUAUUAACAUAAUAAUAUAUAUUUUUAGAGAAGAUUUUUGAUAAGGUGUUAUUACUUUGUCAUGAUAUCAAGACUGCUCAUUUUAUAACAAGUUGGACUAUUAUAAGCUUAGACCUUUUUUAUUUGUGAACAAAUUAAUCUUUUUAUUUAUUGAUUAUAUCUAUAGAAUUCUAUGAAGAUCCAUUUCUUAUUCCAUAUAUCUCUUUUAGAGCCAUAUAAGACAGUGAAUAUUUCAACAAGAAGACAAAAGCCACCUCUUAUAGAAAUAGAUAAUAAUCAAAAUUUUGAAGUGGAAGAAGUCUUAAAUUUAAGGCGGCGUUAAAAUAGAUUGAAAUAUAUUAUUCAUUAAAAAGGAUAUGAUAUUAUUGAAUGCACAUGGAAGCCAAUAAAAUAUCUUACAAAUAUAGCAAUUGAGUGUUGUUUUUUAUUGAUGACAUCCAUCAAAAUCAAGAUCAAGAAAAACAAGAUCCAUAAAGAAUGAUGAUUUCUCUUUGAAAAACUCAUUCCUAAAAAGAAAGAUAAUGUUAUGAAUAUAUGUAUUUAUUCCAAUAAUUACCUAUAUAAUUUGGUAGAAGUAUAUAAAUAUAAAUUAAUUUCAUAAUUUUUUAAAAAAACUUCUUGAAAGCUUCAAAGAUAUAACUUUGAUUCUUUAUGUGUUUGUAGUUGAUUGAUAGAUUAGAAACUUGAUCAAUAAAUUAAUCACAUGUCACAUGUGCUAAUAACUUGUGAAACAAGUUAAUUAUAUAGUGCACAUAUAGAAAACUUUCCUUGCAAGUUAAGACAUGUGUCUUGCAAAGUUAACACAUGUUGGAGGUCUUAUAGAACAUUGUCAUGUAGCUCCUAGUUAGAUAGUAUAUAUGGAUGCAAGAGUGAAGCCUUAUUCACUCUUAUCAAUGCCUUUUUAAUCUUUAGUCUCAUUUUAAGACUUUUUAAUCUUCUUAUCUUUGGCAAUAAUCAUUCUAAUUCAAUAUAUUACCAUCUGUGAGUAAUUUUUUAGUCUUUUUGAAUGACACAAGGGUGUAUUGAGGAUUUCUUUCUUUAAGAUUCAUAUCUUUAACAAGAAAAUACUAGAAACAUUUAGCAAAUAAGAUUGAAUAUUAGUUUGAGUAUCACAAAUAGACUAUAUAAAAGAUCAAACAAGAAGUUGAACAAAAGAAUUUUAAGAAGAAAGAUACUAAAAACUUGAUUAAACCAAAUAAGUACAAGAUUAAUAUCAAGAAGUGAGUUAGAGCUUUAAAAAAUGUGUUAUUAAGAAUGUAGAUCUUGUUAAACUUAAUUCCAAUUUAUACUAAGUAUUAGCAAGCUUUUCAAAAAAUUUAAUUUUUGUUUAAAGACAAAAAAAUUCUAAGAAGCUUCUAAAAAUGUUUUUAUGUUGCUUAAAGAUGAAACAAUCCUAAAAAUCUUCUUGGACAACUUUUUUAAUCUUCCAAAAACUUUUUAGAAUUUUUUUAAAUAUUUAAAGAAUCUUUUUAAUUUUUUUAGAAUAGUUUAGAAAUAUUUUUAAAAUAUUCUAUUAAAAUAUAUUAAAUAUCUUUUAAAAUUUUAUAAAAUAUUUAAAGAAUAUUCUUUAAAUCUUCUUUUUAGAUGUCUAUAAUAUCACCUCUCUUUCUAACUCCAAGUUCUACAAGCAUUGGUUUUAUAUCUACAAUAGAAUGACAAAAAUUAUACAACUUUUUUUAAGA
This 87614-nucleotide long non-coding RNA is filed under the name Physcomitrium patens. Its description in RNAcentral is "long non-coding RNA (PPAT_LNC000309)". The record is from RNAcentral. Lineage: Eukaryota; Viridiplantae; Streptophyta; Bryopsida; Funariales; Funariaceae.